UUUUCUUUUUUUUGUUGCGGCUAUGAAAUGAUUUAUAUAAUUAUAUGCUUUCCAAUCUAUUGCAAAUUUAACAUACUAUUAUAAAUAUUACAAUAGCAUCAUCACUUGAUUGUGAUUUCUUUGGUGUUGUUGUAGGUGUUUUUGUGAUCAUUUCCAAGAAUUUUUAGUGUUUUCAGAAAUUUUAAACUUCUAAGUCUUUGCUCAAGUUAUUUGUGUGGAUUUCAAAUUAUUGUAGGUGUCAUUAAAUUUGUCUUUGAAAAAGGGUGAUCUUUCAUUGUACUAAUAGUUUUAUUGUAUCUUUUCUUCACAAUUGUUUUAAUAAGCUUUAUUGAGAUAUUAUAUUUGCUUGUUUUGUUUUUUUUUUAAAUUAAAGUAAAAAUGACUUAUAUGUUAUUUUCACAUGUCUUUUGAGUAUGUAAUAUUAUUACUAAUCAUAAACUUGUGAAUAUAUAUGGGUUUGGUUUCAUUAUAAUGGUAGAACACUCUUUUUCUUAAAAAAAAAAUAGUUUUUCUUUUUCAACAAUAAAAGUUAUAUAGGGUUCCCUCGUUAUAUAUUUGAGUCUUUUGAUUUGUUUAUGAUCUUUUUUUAGUAUUAUUUUUUUAUAAAAUCAUAUCCCCUAAAUUGUAUUUUUUUUAUUGGUUAAUGUCAUUUCAUUUGAGACUUUGGGUGUCAUUUAAAAAGAAAAAAAAGUUUUAAAUAAGUGACACAUGAAUAUUUUUAAGGCAUAGAUUUUUUUUAAUCAUAAGAAUACAAUUUUGAUAAAUAUACAUAAAAAAUAACUCCUUGAUGGGAAUUUAUCUAAAAUGAAAGACUAUCAAUAAAUAAUAAAAAUAAAAAUUAAUAAAUAAGUGAACACAGUAAAUAAGCACUCCUAAUUAAUAUAAUUUGAUAUUUAUAUUUGAUAGUUUCUUAAAAAAGCAUGUCAAAACUCAAACGAUUAAAAAAAAAAUCAUUUUCAAAUAAUGUUAUUUAAUUAUUUAUUUAUGGAAAAUUAUCAUUUGUAUACCUUUAGUUUACUCCAUUAUAAAAAAUACUACAACACUUUGAAGGUGUAUCAAUCGUCCACCAUAAGUUGACAAAAUGUAUCAGCUGACCACCAAACUGUUAGUUGCCGUUUAAGUAUGAUGACGUCAGAAGGGUAAUUUGGUCUUUUUAUAUAAUACAAGUGAUAAUUUAAAGGUAUACAAGUGAUAAAAAGAGAAUUUAAGAAUAUACAAGUGAUAAUUUUUAAGGGUAAAAUCGUCAAUUCACUGUAAUUAUGUCAACUUUCAAACAACAACUAACGAUUUAGUAGUCGGUUGAUAUAUUUUAUCAACUAAGAGUGGACGAUUAAUAUACCCUCAAAGUAUUAUAGUAUUUUUUAUAACAAAAUAAAUAUAAGAUAUAUAAAUGAUAAUUUUGUGGUGGUUACGAGACACCUACCGAAAGAGGAAUUUACGCAUCGACAAGAGAGGGGCAAACUCGUCCAAAAUCAAUUACAGCUAUCAGGGAACACGUGUUGGGACUUUUCUUUACUUCCCAUGCUGACGAAUCGCCGCAUGGUGGGCACAACACCCGUGAAAUUUCACAACGGAUCCUCUAUUCCCCACACUCUCUUUGAAGUUCACGCGCCAAAAACUGUGAAAAAACUACUGGCUUGACUGAGAAAGCGCGUGGGAGAGGUGGUGUGAGUAAUUUGGCUUGCGAAAAACGUCUUUUCCCCUACCACCACAGCCACGUCGAAUGUUUGGACUCCCGGUUUUGUGGAAUCCGUACGCUGGUUUUGGUUGGAGGCAGGACCGUGGGCGCCCCCUUUAAACUCAGCCUCUGGUUUUUUAGCCUCCGUUUGAUUGAUUGAUUCAUGAAUCUCAUGAAUCUCAUGCUUGCUUAUCCAAUUAGUGUGGAAUAAAAGCAGUUUGUUUCUUUUCUUUUCAUUUGACUUUUUCUUCAUAUUUGAUUAGAUUUUGUGGCUUCCCAAAUUUCUAUCCCCCUAUUUUAUACUUAGCUUAUCAAAUUGGUGUGACAUGAUUUGGACGGUCCAACCAAAAUCUAAGGUGAUAUUUUAUCCUCACUUCAAAUAGUAAAAAAAAAAAAAAAAUUGUAUACAGAGUAUAGAUCAUACAAGUUUGAGUGCAGUAUUGAAUUUUAGUAUUUCUAUGACGUAGGAGCGGCUUUUUUUUUUUUUGUUCCUUUUAAUGGAGUUGAUUUUGAAUUAGAUAUCAACCUCAACAAUGAUAUAUUAACAUAAAUAUAUUUAGAAAAAUCCCACUUGCAAGUAUAGUGAGAGAAUUAGGUCAUUGGGUAUUAUAGUUUUAUAACUUGUUUAUUUAACCUUUGACUAAGUAAAAUCUCGACAAAUCGGUAUCUUUUUUCUGGUAUAUUUAAUAAAUUUUUUUAUAUGAUAAAAUAAAGAGUUCAAACCCUAUUCGUAAAAGUAAAAUAUAAUUUAAUUGUUAUUGCUAUUAGGUGUAUAAAAAAAGAAAAAAAAGAAGUAAGUUUGAAAGGAGACUCUCAUUCCUCACUAUUAAAACAGUGCAACGUCAUUGUCUACUACCAGAAGAUGUCGAGGGGAUGUGUUUCAUUAUCUUCUUUUAUUCGAGCAUAAUUCAAAAUAUCUUGCGUGCCGGCCCGAUGCAUGGCUUGCGGUACAAUGCAUCGUAGAAAUCAAGCACAUCACGUUCCCGGGCAAUUAAUAGGUCUCGUGUCGAUGAUUCCUAGUCAUAGUAAAAAAUUAUAGGUCCACUACAUCUGUCUAACCUACACAUCAACCAAAAUGAAAGAACGCUACUGGGUUUACGAUUUAUUUCCGGCACUGUGAGUAAAUCUUGAAAAUGUGCAUUUAAUAACCGUGAUAUUAGUCCGCAUAUUUAGGAGAUAUAUCCAUUUAUGUGAAUACAUAAAAAGAUAUGCCUACCCACGUUUGUUAGAUGAAAUUCUGUAAAGAGGCUCAAAUUUAGUAUUCUCGAUACAUAGGCGAUAAUUGACUUUUUAAAUUUGAAUUAUAUAUUUUAUUACAAUAUAUUUGUUAAAAUUUGGAUACCAUUUUUUUUUUUGUCUAAAAUAUAAAUAAAUCUGAAUUUGACUGAAGUCUUAAUAUCUUAAACCUCUUUUAUAAUUCACAUGUAUUUGAGGUCAAUAUUAGGACAAGAAGAGGUAUUUUUAUCUUUGAAGUCUCUUAUUUUAAAUUAGGUUACCAUUAGGUUAAAUAAAAAUUAAUUGGAAGGAGUAAUUAGACUUUAAUUUUCCCUUUGCAUGACUAUAGGAAGAUGCACUGAAUGUGUUAACUUAACACAUUAAAAUUCAAUGGACAUUUAUUUUCCUUUAAAAAAAAAAAACAAAUUGAGCUAGUAUCUUUAAUGAAGUACCUGGGUAUGACCCAUGCUUAAUUCAUGUGGUAGCUAUAGAAGUUUGUAAAACUAAUUUAUAUUUAAAAGUUGAUUCAAGAGUCGACAAUUACUUCAAAUUUAGAUUGUUUAUAUUCUAAGAUUAAUUUAUUUAACUGAAGUCUUAAUAUCUUUAAUCUCUUUUAUAAUUUACAAGUAUUCAAGGUCAACAUCAGGACAAAAAGAGGUAUUUUUAUCCUUGAAGUCUCUUGUUUUGAAUUUGGCUAUCCAUUAGGUUGGAAAAAAAUUUAUUGGAAGGAGUAAUUAGACUUUAAUAUUAGCUUUCUAUGACUAUAAGAAGAUGCACCGAAUUUAGAGAGUGUUAACACAAAAAAAUUCAAUGGACAUUUAUUUUCUUUUUUUUUUUUAUAGAGAAAUUGAGCUAUUAUCUUUAAUGAAGUACGUGGGUUUGACCCGUGCUCAAUUCAUGUGGUAGCUAAAGAAGUUUGUAACACUAAUUUAUAUUUAAAAGUUAAUUCAAGGGUCGACAAUUGCUUCAAAUUUAAAUUGUUUAUAUUCUGAGAUUAAUUUUUAGUCAAUUUGAAAUUGUUCCGCUUACAAUGGUAAAGCAAGAAAAUUCAACAAGAGUAAUGAUAGAACCAAAACUACUUUGUGCAAAUAAAUAUAUAUAAACUGAUAUGGCAUGAGGAGAUUGUUGUAUAAAACCAUCAUAGAUUCACAUAAUUAGAAAAAAAUAAUAAUUAUACUCAUUUUUCAACAAAUCUCUUUACGCUACAUCAAUUUGUGCACAUUAAUUUGUUUUAACUUAUUUAUAACUUUAUCAUUAUUGCUCCAAGAAAUAGGUUCUUAUUUUGAUGAAGACUUCUAUAAUCAUUGAUAUACAAUCGACACAAUAGGACCCUGACAAUGUUAUCUUCAAGGUGUAAAACGGGUUGGAUAGUCCAAUAGACGACCCGGCAACAAAACCCAAAAACAACAAAUGCUCAUGGAUAGAGACAGAACCCCUGAUUGAUAGGCCUCAUAGCUUACAUUAUAGCCAUUCAGAGUCAGCCCAGUUUCCAGCUUCCACAUUUCACUGAGCACCAAAGGCAGUAACAGAAGAUGCACCAUCGCAACCGGGUCCCUGACACGUGGCAAACACCCAAUUUAUAGGAGAAUGUGAAGAGAAAAAGAAAGUUAAAACUCCUACUUUCAUGGUCCUGUCUUUUAAUUUUACCUCUUUUAAGUUUCAAUCUCUCUCUUAGUAGUUAAGAAGACCAACGGUACACGGAAUACCAAACAAAUCAAAUCAAUAAUUAUAAUAAAUUAAUGAAAGAAAAAGUAUGAUUUAUAGUUAAUAAUCUAAUAAUUAAAACUAACUCAUUUUCCAUUAUUUAAUAUUUUUUUUUUAUCUCUUUCAACAAUGACAUGAGGAAGUUUCAUUAACGUGCAUUGGCUGUUCGUUCACCUCUCAACGUGCUCUCUCAGGUUGGUCUUCUCACAUUCCCUACUUUGUUUUCAACAAUUAGAGAUACACAUUUUGGGAUCUGAUUGCUUCUUCAUUAUGGAAAAUUUUGAUGCCUGUGAAUUUAUGAACCGUCAGCUUUUUCAAGUUUUCGCAAUGCAGGUUCCCAAUUUUUCAAAUUGCAUUUUGUGUUUUGAAGCUGAAAUGUCUCAUGCAUUUUGAAAUUCUACUCUGGAUUCACAUUCUGUGCGUACGUAUUGGUGAUUUAAGUAAAUUCACAGCUAAGGUUUAAAAAAAAAAAACUGGAAUUGCAGUUAAGAAGGAUUUUUUUUUUUUUUUUUUUUGUGGUUUAGGUUAUAAACUCUAAGCUUCUGCAAGAAAUUCUGCUAUUUGUUUUGCUAUGAUUUGCAUUGCAGCUUCUUCUCAUGUUGAUAGAUUGUAGUGAAAUUAUUCCUGGUUCCAUGAAUUGAUGGCUGCCAUUAGCACCCAGGUGUUUGUCAUGAUUAGUGAUUUUGAACACUCAAAUUUACUUAAAUCAAAUAGUAAUUGAGAAGUUAAUAUAGAAAUUUUUACAAAAUUAGACCAAAGUUUUUCUUUUAGAGGUAAUAAAUUGUGUUUUUCCUUUAUCAUUAAUGAUUAGUUACAGAGAUGCAUAAUGCUGCCACUGAGCUGGACAUGGAGAAGCUUUAAAGACUGCCACAUUUUCCCUUAGCAUCACCCAAAACCACAUUGAUGUCGUAUACUGUCUCUUAUAAACUUUAAUAGAUGUUUUUCAAAAUCAGAACUUUGUUUAAAUCUUUGUUCUGUUCUUUGCAUGUCAUGUUCAUAACUUUCCUUUUCUUCAUUUUGUAUUGCAAGGUAACUUCACAAACAGUUUCUUUAUACACCAUCUCUGUAGCAUUCUCGACAGUCGGUCACGUUCUUAUGUUGUCAUUUAUUACUGGUUUGUGUUACAAUAAUAAUGCAGUUCAUCACCUGUUAUAAGUUGCUAAAAGAUUGGACAGAUUAAUAGCAUUUUCGACAGUCAGUCACAUUCUUAUGUUAUCAUUUAUUACCCAUUUGUGUUACAAUAAUAAUGCAGUUCGGUACCUAUUAUAGGUUCUUAUAAGAUUGGGCGGGUUAAUAGCUUAUUAUAAGCUGAUAGUUAUAUAGCUUGACAUGUCAUUGCAGCAGAGGAAUCUAAGAAGUAAUAGCUGCUUUUGUUAGUUGCCUUAUGAGCUCUGCCCAGAGUUUCAGUUUAUUCUACUUUUUUUUUUUUUGUAGUGUUCCAUUUGAGCUCAGAAGCUUGAUGACCCUUUCUUGAACCUCAUCAUGAGCUCAGUUUCGGCUCCCCAAAUGAAUGGGCCUGAGGAGCUCAAAAGAUCAAAUUCAGCUUUUGAGUCAUCAGUAAACAUUAAUUCUGAGGUUGAAGGUAAAGGAAGCUCAUAUCCUUAAAUUUUUUGUUUAUGCAUUUGUUAUUCAUUAAUCCUUCUUUUUUCCUAUUCCAGCCAAGCAACGGGCACUGUUGAUAGAGUGGUUAAAUAGCAUUCUUCCUAAUUUGAAUUUUCCAAUUAAGGCUUCAGAUGAGGAGUUGAGAGCCUGUUUGAUUGAUGGCACUGUUCUAUGUCAAAUUUUGAAGAGGCUUAAACCUGCUUCUGUUGAUGAGGUUGCUAAUAUACCUAUUGUCUGUGGGUUACCAUAUUGAUAUGAUUAAUUUUCUGAUUGAAUCUGCAAUUUGUUUCCAUAGGCCAAUUAUUCUUAUAACUCUUCGAUGUCCCGCUCGGGAAAAAUAGCAAGGUUUCUGACUACUCUGGGUAAACUUGGAAUAUCCAGGUUUGAGAUGUCAGAUCUAGAGAAGGUACUGAUGUUUAAAUUGAACCAGCAUUUCAUCUGAAAGAUUUGUACGCAUAUGAACAUCCAUCUGCUUAACAAUAUGCAAACAUAAUUCUUGAAAUUUUGAACAUGUUCUACAAUAUAUGAUCUGAUUGUCCUUGCAUGGAAUAUUGUUUUGCAUUCUUUUUAUAUGGUUUUGCAAAGAAAUUUUUCUCUUUCAACUACUUAUAGAACAUCUGUUGGUUUCUGCGUCAUGGAGACUUUUGUUAUUCUUCUGUUAAACUUCAGUUCUGUAUCUUUCAGGGUUCUAUGAAGCCUGUUAUCAACUGCCUUUUAAAUCUUAGAGCAGAAUAUAUUACUGGUGGAGAUAUUCGUCCAUUGACUAGCAUAAGUACAAAAUCUGGAAGCCGUCAAGGGGAUGUUUCGUCUCCUGCUUCUCUUUCUCCAUUAUUUGGAGAAGAAAGGAGGAAGGUUUCCUCAGACUCCCAAUUUCAACGUGGUUUGCGCAGUCCUGUCAUGUCAGGUAUAAAUGACGUCAUGAAGUCUUCAGCACACAAAUCUACAGCAAUGACAUGUUAACUUGCUUAUAAUGACCAAACAUGUAUUCAAAAUGAUCUACCUUGAAAUUUUAUAUUCAAAAUUGUGCUACAAAGUUCUUAUGGGGAGUGGACAUUUUUCUAAAAGCCUCGUAAGGUUUUUCAGGUGAUUUACUACUGAAAGAAAUUUAAGAAAUGGUUGACAUUUUUAUAUUCCAAAUAUAGCUAAUUAAUUGUUCAUUUUACUGGCCUUUGUUAAACAUGCAUUUCUUUUCAUCAUAAAUAUCUUAAAUGCAUGCUAUUUCUUCUCUUACAGAGCCGUCAACUGCAUUAUUACAUCAUGUUGGACACAAGUUCCAUGAGGUUUUUCAACUGAAACAAGGGCGCUACUCGGAUCUUCCUGCUGCGAAGAUCACAGAAAUGAUGAAAUCAACCAGUUUAGAUGUAAGUUUUUGGUCUUUGUCUUUUCGAUGGACCUUAGACACAAUGUCUAUAAUUCCUUUCUUUCCUAUUUUCAACUUAAUGCUUAUUUAAUGCAUUUCAGCAUCUCUUGUUGCAGAAUGCUCCAACUCAGUCGCUUUUGAGUGUUGUGAAUGGGAUUCUGGAUGAAAGUGUUGAUAGAAAGAAUGGGGAGAUACCUCAUGUAAGUUACAGAAGGAAAUAUGAGUUUAGUUUUAAAGCACUUACUACUUUGACAGUUUUGCAAGUGUACACGAUGGAAGCCUACGCCCACUUAUUGCCACAUAUGGAUAUAUUUUUUGUUUUGGGGGAAAAAGAAAACAUAUCCUCUGAUAUUGCCUUUGUUGUUCAGCGUGUGGCAUGCCUGCUGCGAAAAGUCGUGCAGGAGAUUGAACGGCGUAUAUCAACUCAAGCUGAUCACUUAAGAACUGUAAAAUAUUUUCUCAAUUUCUUAGUUUAUUUCAACAUAUUUUUCGCAGAUGCUCUAUACCAAUUUCUUUAUGGUUCUGUGCCUUUAGCAAAACAAUCUUUUCAAGACUCGUGAGGAAAAAUAUCAAUCCAGAAUCAGAGUGCUUGAAGCCCUAGCAUCUGGUACUGGAGAGGAAACUGAGGUAUGGUAAAUGCCUGUCAUUUUUCUUGUUGAUAUGUUUUUAUCUAUCUUUUACUCAUGAAUUGACUUCAUUUGGUGCAGAUUGUCAUGAACCAGCUUCAGCAGAUAAAGGUAAAGAUCAAAGACAAGCAUGUCUGCCUUUGACUGACCUGUAUCUGAUUCUCUAUGAGGCAUUUUUCUUUAGCUCCAUAUUUAUUCACUAGUCAUUUGUUAUUGAGAAGACAGUUUCCAAAUUUCUAGUUGUUUGAGUGCCUAUUAAGAGAUCAAAUGCGGAGAAUUUCUUACUUUGAGUUGUCUGCUUCUUUUUAAUUGACAGUGCUUGAAUAAGCUGGUUUCAUAACUAUAAAAACAAUUAUUUUUUUACUUUUUUCCCCCUCAAUGUAGAACUUUUAGGUUUUCUACCUAGUUAUAAUUAUAGGGUUAAUUUACAAAGGAAAUUAGAUAACGAUCUCAUGUUCAGACUCUUCUGUUGACAUAUUUCACUCUACCUUUUUGUUAAUUGUUCUUUUUCCAUGUUGCAGACAGAGAAAUCCAAGCUAGAAGAAAAAAAAAAGCUCGAAGAUGAUGAUGUGGCCAAAUUGAUGAAAGAGAAAGAUCAACAGAUGCUUGAAAAUUUGGCAUUGAAGCAAGAACUAGAAAUGGCCAAAAAGACAUAUGAACUGCGUUGCUUGCAAAGGGAAACAGAAUAUAAAGGUGCUAACUCAGGUUUUGAGGAAAGAAUAAAAGAGCUUGAGCACCUCUUGCAGGUUUCAAGGAAUAAAGUGAGAGAGCUUGAGGCAAAUUCUGACUCAAAGUACCAGAGAUGGAGCAGGAAAGAGAGCAUCUAUCAAAGCUUCAUGGAUUUGCAACAUGGUGCCCUGCGGGUAUGCUUUGAGUUUUUCGUUGACUCUACAUUUUCUUGUUUUAUAUUCUUUAUUUUGCUAAAUUAGUGAAAAUAUUCAGGAACUGAGAUUCUCUUCAGAUUCCAUCAAGCAAGAAAUUUCAAAAGCACAAAAGAGCCAUGCGGAUGAUUUAUAUUGCCUUGGUAGUGUUGGUUAUCAGAAUUUUUCUACCUUAUUUUGCAAUAUGUGAUGGUUUUCCCUUAUUAACCAUAAUCUUGUUCAGGUGUAAGGCUUAAAGCAUUAGCAGGUGCAGCUGAAAAUUAUCAUGCAGUUCUUGCUGAGAACCGGAGGUUAUUUAAUGAAGUUCAGGAUUUGAAAGGUGCUACACAUAUCUUUGAUCCAUACCUUUUAUAAUGGUGCAGAUUUUGACAUCAUUUUUAUUUAUCUUUUCAGGUAAUAUUAGAGUGUAUUGUCGGAUAAGGCCAUUUCUACCUGGACAGACCAAAAAACAGACAACCAUAGAAUAUAUUGGUGAAAAUGGUGAGCUGAUUUUUGGAAACCCCUCAAAACCUGGAAAAGAUGGACAACGAAUGUUCAAGUUUAAUAAGGUCUUUGGUCCAGAUGCUACUCAAGGUUUUAAUCUAUUAUCUUCGAUUUUUAAAUUGGUCGUUGUGUGAAUAACUUUUGACUGAUUUGUAGUUCUUUUACAUUGGUUUUAUAACUGUUCUUUGAACUCAUAGGAUUAUUUUAUUAUUGGAUCAAAACAUUGUAAUGUCUAACUAUAUUCUUUUGAAAAUUCACAGCGGAGGUUUUUUCAGAUACCCAACCUUUGAUACGAUCUGUACUUGAUGGAUAUAAUGUCUGCAUAUUUGCUUAUGGUCAAACGGGUUCGGGAAAAACCUACACAAUGGUAAAAACAACCUCAAUAUCUGUAACUUCUCUAGACAUAUGUUGAUGUUCGUGAGAUAUUGAUGCAUUUUGCCCUCCAUUUUCAGAGUGGUCCUAGUGGGCCACAUGAAGAAGAUUGGGGAGUUAACUAUCGAGCUCUAAACGACCUUUUCAACCUUUCUCAAAAUAGAAGAAGCUCCAUUAUGUAUGAAGUUGCAGUUCAAAUGGUUGAAAUAUACAAUGAACAAGUUCGCGAUUUACUAACAAAUGAUGGUUCUCAAAGAAAAUAUCCUUUUUUCUUUGGAUAAAAGCGAUUAUAUAAUAUAUAACAUGAAAUUCAGUUAUGAUUUGGUUAUUAAGAAAAUCUUUUUGCUUUAUGCAAACAUUUUCUGUUUUUUAACAUAAAAAUUAUUUUAUGCUUGAUGGUGUCCCUUGUAAUUUGGCCUGUCAUCACUUCCUGAUAUCAUUUAUCUGAAUGAAGCAUUUAGUGUUCUGGAUUUUGGCUAUUUGUUUCCUUGAUUUGCACACACUUGGGAUUAUGUCGACCUCGCAACCCAAUGGGUUAGCUGUACCUGAUGCUUCUAUGCAUCCUGUUACAUCGACAGAAGAUGUAUUGGAACUAAUGGAUAUUGGACUCAAGAAUAGAGCUAUUGGGGCCACGGCACUGAAUGAAAGAAGUAGCCGCUCUCACAGGUUCUUAAAUGACCUUUAAAAAUAUUUUUCUCCAUAAAUAGAUGUUUUUAGGUGUAAUCUAGUCUAAAUUUUGAUUUUGUGUGCAGUGUUGUUACUGUUCAUGUUCGCGGUAAGGACUUGAAGACUGGAAUUCCUUUGCAUGGCAAUCUCCACCUGGUAGAUCUUGCAGGAAGUGAAAGAGUAGAUCGGUCUGAGGCAACUGGAGAUAGGCUUAAGGAAGCACAACAUAUAAAUAAGUCGUUAUCGGCCCUUGGAGAUGUUAUUUUUGCUCUUGCACAAAAGAGUCCUCAUGUACCAUACCGGAAUAGCAAGCUAACGCAAGUCCUUCAAAGCUCUUUAGGUAUUUCUUUCAUUACUUAUAUUGCUUUAGUCAUAAAUUAUUGUGAAUUUCUUCCUGGUACCCUUGAGCCACUGAAAAUGACUUGAUAUCUUGAGAUAUGCACUUACUACUAAAAUUCAUCUAAAAUAUGUUUUCUUUCUUGUAUUAUAGGAGGUCAAGCAAAAACUCUUAUGCUUGUGCAGCUCAAUCCUGAUGUAAAUUCAUAUUCUGAGAGUUUGAGUACCUUGAAGUUUGCUGAGAGGGUCUCUGGAGUUGAGCUAGGCGCUGCACGGAGCAGUAAAGAGGGCAGGGAUGUGAGGGAAUUGAUGGAGCAGGUUCGUUUUUUUCUAUAUAUUUCUAUGUUUGAUAUUAUCUCGCUUUAAUAUAAUAAUGAACAAUUCCACACUUUGUUAAGUUCCAGAUCUCUGAAAUCGUUCUUGAAAAAUAAUUCAAUGAGGAUCAUAGUGACUAUGAAUAGUUCUUGACUCUGGUCUCAAUGCAUCUAGAAGGGGAUCUCCCAACAUGCAGUCUUCUACUUUAAUCACUUCUUGCAAUUGUCAGAUUUCUCUGUCCCACAGAAACAAGUAAUUGUAGUUUGGCCUCCCUAGCACAAAAAGGAAAAGAAUAAUGUUAUUAUAAUGAGUUUCUUGAAGGUCUUUUAAUAUUGAUUGAGAAACAAAAAUGGUAAAGAAGGGAUUUUGGAGUGAUUUUAUAGAAUUAGAUUGUGAAGAAUUUCCAGUUUAAUAGUCUUCUUCUGCAUAUAAUUUUUGUAGGUUGUUAAUUUUGAUUGUUUGUCUCAUAUAUUUCAAUUCCAAAUGGGUCAUUACAUUCUGUUUGGUAUAGCAUUGCCCUAGAAAAUUUUCCCUGUAUUCUCCUGUUGUCCUAAGGCCCCAUUUGUGUAUUAAGGAGACCUAGUAAAUGUUGCACAGCCAAAUAAAGGGGAAAAAAUUUUGAGGAGCAUAUUUGGAGUAUCCUGCUUGCUUCUUGUACCAUUCCCUUUCUAAAUUUUGUUAGCUAUGCAGGUGGCAUCUCUUAAAGACACAAUUGCCAAAAAGGAUGAUGAGAUUGAGCGAUUACAAUUACUUAAAGAUCUUAAAAACGUGUAUCCUGGUGUCAAUAGUGAGAAGCGUGGAUUGAAUACAUUCAGGUAUAGAUCUCUCUUUCCAAACACAGGUUCUAUAGAUGGGACACCUCUUAGCAAAGCCCAAAACCAUCAAGAAGGUGUGGCUUAGGACUUUCCGGGAAAACAGCUUCCUAUCAAAAUUGCUGUUCAGAUAUAGGCAUUCCAAAGUUGAUGUACAGCUGUCCAUGAAUGAUUUAAUAUAAAUUUGUAUUUUAUAUUACUGACGACAAAGUCUUUCUGUGUGAACAGAAGCUGAUGGCUCUGCAGAAUAUAAUCUUCAUCAUGAAGGGAACAGAAUGGUUGGAGAAUUUGGAAAUGUGAGUUUUACUUCUUUUUUAUUUUAUUUUGUUUUUUUGUUUUUCAGGCAUCCCUUUAGAUUAUAUGUACCGCACUAUUCAGUGUUUUUUCAAAAGAAAACAAUUUGAAGAAAACUAUCCCUCCGAAAUUGAAUUCUCAGUACUUUCUUUCUGUUCAUGAAACAAAAUCGUGAUUCUAAAAAAUACUUAGCAAUAAACAUGCAUGCAUGGUUUUUUAAUAUAGUUCCAGUUUCUUUUCUAAUAAAAAAAUAAAAAAAUAAAUAGACACGAUUGCACGGUCAUGCUCAUCUGAAAAUUCAAAUUGGAGAAGAGAGAUCUAGGUGGGGCUGAGAUCAGGUUUGGGGAGAGUGCUAAAGCACCAGUUGCGUGUUGUGAUUAAUAUCCAUUUGGCUGCUCAAAAGACAUUUGAAUUUGGAAUGCCAGUAUAAAUAUAUGCAUCAUAGCCAUUUAAUGAACAUAUUUGAACUCCCACUUUUAUAACUUUAGAUCCAAUUUAUGCAGGCCCAAACCAACAUAAAAAAUUACUCAACACCUGCAAAAUUCAUAGAAUACAUAAACGGAAAGUCAAGUGGCAAAUGACUCAUUCCAGGUGUCAACAUGUAUGUGAAAACAAUAAUUCUUCCCAAUUUAUUGUUUGUCCAUACAAUUGGAUAGAAUAAACUGACUUUAUCUCCACUAAGUAAUCAUUUUAUGUAGCAUUAACAUUCUAAACAAUCGCCUUUUUCAGGUAAAAGAAGACUGUACAUGGGAGAUCUACGUUGCUCAAACCCCCCAAGUGGUUGCAGUGAAUUAGGCCACAUUUACUUACAUACAUGUUACAUAUAAAUUAUUUAUUUCCUUCAUUUAGUUAGCUGUUUUCUGCAACAUACGUAGUUUGCAAAUUAAAUUCCCACUAGGUUAUGCCUGGAAGUUCUUCACCCAUUAUGUUUGUGGUUACCAGGUUUAUGCUUGUAAUACUAGUGCUUUCUUUUGGUCAGAAACUGUAAUUUAGGUCAUUAUAUUGCGGAGUAUGUACAUGUGUAAAUAUUGUAAUGUCACUGUAUUUUCAUGAGUUGCAGAAAAGCUCCUACAUCAGUGCACACUUUUCCUUCGAAGUUUUCAGUGCACAGAUGACAAGGAAAUUUUUGUGGAAAAUUGUUGUUGAUGAUAUACAAUUUCUACUGCAUUCUAUUCUUUGUCUUGUUGUUUCAGUUUGCUUCUUUGUGGGCGGGGGGAUGGGUAGCAUAUUAUUAAUUGAUAAAGGAAAUAUGGGAGAGCCAGAAUGCCAGAGUUCUUAAUAUCUUUGAAAGGCUUCUGAAGGUAAGAGCUGCAAAUGGAGAAUGUCCUUUAGUGCCAAGCCAAGCAGAGCAAAUGCCGUACUGCUUUUGGUCCCUAUAUCGUAAUGCAGGGGAAUGGUAUUUGCUCCCUUUUGGUUUUAUUUUGAGUAAGUAUGGCUUUAACAAAGCCACUUAGUAUGAUCUGUGAUGAAAAAUUUGUGGGCAGCCCUACCUCUCACCACUUUUCUGAUUGCUCAAUGAUAAAAUUUAAAUAGGUCACUUAAUUGAUCUCCCCUCAAUUGCUACCAUGUAAUAACAAAACAAGAAACACCGCGAGAGUCAAGAGCAGGCCCCAUUGGAGAGGCUUUAACAAAACCACUAGUAUGAUCCGUGAUGAAAAAUUUGGCUACCCUACCUCUCACCACUUCUCUUUCUUGAUUCAAUUUAUUUCCAACAGCAGUGUCUUCAGUGAACGUAAAUAACUGUAGCCAUAUAUAUAUAUAUAUAUAUAUUUAUUACAUGAGACUAUUGCUCAGAUUACAACUCAUAUUACAUGAGACUAUAACUGAUAUUUACAAAUCAGACAAUUACUGGGACCAACUUACAUCAAUGCUAAUAGAACUCUGCCCAGAUUUUAACCCUCACAAAUAUUCGAGGGAUGUCUACUCCUCACUCAUGGGUAAGGAAGAAGACUACCUUCACUCAAAUUAAUUGAGAAAGAAAAUACCCCCACAAUAUUUUUGUGGGGGUUCGAACUGUUGCCCUCCAAGUUGGAGGGCAGCAGCCCUAGCCACUCGGGCUGAGCCGAGUGGUUAACUGUAGCCAUAUAUUUGGUGCUUCUGAUUAAGGACAGUGAACUUGACUGAGAGGAACAGGAAGGGACCACUAGAUUAUGAAUGUUUAGUUGGUCUGCAUCUGCUACAAGGUUUGGCAAAGUGGGGUUUGAAGCUAGAAAUGUGAAAUGCAAUUGGUAAUGGUAUGACCCGUCCUUAAAAGUGGGGAUCCUAAUCCUGUGUCAUCCCACGACAUGCAACAUGUUAUGGUUCCUCGUGCUUCCAUUGUUCUGUUCCUUGCAAAUAAGAAUCCACAACUUUUUAAAAACAAAAAUGAGAAUUCUACUAUUCAUUCAUUCGUUACACAAAAUAUCUUUGAUAAAGUUACGUAUAUAAUUUUUUUUUUUGAAGUGAUAAAGUAUUCAAUAAUUCAUAUCCCUCCAAGAAUUAAAAAAUAAAUGCUGCAUGGGGGUGAAUUAUUUCAAUUUUGUGGUUAUGACACACAAAAUCAUCUUCUGCCGCGUGGCUCCUCCUCUAGAUCAAAAUCCGACCGUAGGAUGUAACUCCACCGAAGCCAACAAGCAUAUAUAAAUAACAAGAGGAGCAUUCACAAGAACAUCUUGUACUAGCUAGAAACAAGAAAACAAAAAUGGCAUGCCAAAUGAUUUCAACAGCAAGUGUUACCACCAGCACCACCACCACCGCAGUAGCUCAGGCAAGCAUGGCGGCACCGUUCAGCGGAUGUCCAAUUUGGAUCGAAAUGUAAAAUAUGAGUGCAAAAUAUUAAUGAUGAUUUGCCCUAUCAAGUUAAUGUCAAGAUGCAUUGGUGUUAGUCUACUUUUAAAAAAUCUAAAAAAAAAAGAAAUCAAUCUGACAUUGUUGCAUAUCUGUUUAUUUAAGGAAUUAAUUUAACAUGACAUUAGUAAGUACAUAUAAUUAAUUGUGUCUACCAAAAAAAAUAUAAUAUGACUUUAGUCAAAAUUAUCACAUGUCAAGUUAUUAUUUAGUUUACCAUUUCAUUAUCACUAGAUAGUGAUUUAUAUGAUAUGAGAGUUACAUGAAUGUUACAAUAGUUAAUGUUUAAUGAUAGGAAUCUUGUUAGAAAAAUAUGUAAAUUGUGCUUUUUAUUCAUAGAUUUACUAAAGCUAAUGAACCUAAGUGUUAAUCCACAAUUGAAUUUUUUUUUUUUUUUCUAUUUUUAUAAUAAGAAUUAUCGUUGGCGAUUUUGCGCCAGCAUCGGGUUUUGCUGUGACUUCUUUGUUUCCCACAAAACAAAAAUGAUAAAGCUUAAAGAGUAAACAAAUUCAUGUGUUUUGAGUUUUGACUAGAGCUCUGUAAUGGUACACUUAGGCCGUCGAACUUCAAUUGUAUUAAAUUUUAAUAUAUCCGAUUAAUUGUAAAUUUGAGUGGGAUUUUAAUAGAGUUUAAUUUUGAUUGAAUUGUACAUAAUUUUUUCAUUUUUUAUUUAAAAAAAAAAAAGACUACGGAUUACUUACCAACCAUAAAUAUGCUGAUCAACCCCAGGGUCUUUAAUAAAAUUAAACAAAUUCCGUGACCGACUCAGGCAACCCAAGUCCUUUACUGAAAUGAUUAAUUACAAAGAUAUAAACUUACCACCUUAGCUGGUCUAAUUUAUGUGUUCAUUAUUUAAUUAAUAUCGUCUAAUUAUCAUAUUAAUAAUAAUAUAGUCUCUAAUAGCGAAUUUAUCAAUAAGUGGACAAUUGCGUAUAAAACACUUAACUUAAGAAUUUCUCUGGUGAAAAUCACAAAUAUAAGGUGGAGGGAUGCAAGAGACUAUGGUCACUUUUAAGGCUGUUGUAAGCGAUAACGAAUUACGGGCUUCAUAAUUCUGUCUGUCAUUUGUCCGGCAAAGCAAAAUGACGACAGAUCGUCUAAUCAUUAAAUAUGUGAAUGUCAUGUCGUUUGAUAAUAAAUUGAUAAACGAUAUGUCAUCUAGUGGAUGCGAUACUAUUGACAUGUCAUCCUAAUUUAAAUUAUACGGAUGUCCUAUCAGCUAUAAGUAAAAUAUAAACGAUGCGUCAUCAUAUGUAGAUGCACGGUCGCAUAUUAUUUACGCUCGUCAGUUACGAAAAUUACAUUUUCUGACAUGUCAUCUUUAUGUUCGGUAUGUGGAUGUCUCGUCGUUUACUGAAAGAACGAUAAAAGACGCAUCAUCCAAAUGAUAUUUACAAUUGUCGGUUUCAAUAAAUUUAAGUAUAAUUUACAGUAGUUAAUUUAUUAAUUAUAUAUUUAAGCUAUUAAAUUACAUUAAAGCUUAGCUUUUCUAAUUUUUCUUUAUAAUGAAUAUUGAAGGCACAACCCUAAAGAGCGAAAUUGUCCAAAUAAAAAUUAAGUAUUCCUCAUAGAAUUCUAUAGCAAACUAAAUAUUAGAUUUAAAUUUCACUUUGCUAUCAUCUCCUCUCCUCUCUUUUAUUUUGAUUUUCUCUCGUUUCUUACAACUAGACAUCAUCUCUUGGGGCUAAAUAACAUUGCUAGUUAUCAUUACAAUUCUUAUUCUCUUAAUAUUGUAAAUAUUAUAGGAAAAGAUAACAACACACAACAAAAAUUUUCAUUGAUGAUCGUGAAUUUUUUUUCAUCACUAUAUUUUUUUCAUCGCUCCAACAAAAAUUUCAUGUUAUUGUUGUUGUUGUCGUUGUUGUUAUUAUUAUUAAAUAAUAAAUUAAUAAUAGUAUUAAAAAAGUUAAUUUAUACGAUUAACUAAAAGAUUACUAUAUAGAUCUCUUUUUGGACAAUUAUGUCCAGAUGAAUAUAUAUACUUGGGUCAGUUAGAGCCCAUAGUUGUUCAAAUAGAGAUACGAUGAUUUUUGGUUUUUUAGUUAAUGUGACAUGUAUGCGCUUCAAUUGGAUUGCCAAACCAACAAUGAUCACUAGAGUUUAGAAGCUAUCAACAUAUAAUUUAUCAAUAUGUGGAAAAUUAUGAUAAAAUACUCAAGUUAAGAAUGUACUUGCUCAAAAUCACAAAUACAAGGCCGAGAAUGUUAAAGACUUUCUAAUUAUCUGAAUCUUUUAUUUCAUAUUAUCCAAGUCACGUUACUCAAGCCAGCAAAAAAAAAAAAAUGUUGCUUGAAAACCAUUCAACCAAGUCCUUAAAGACGAUUUCCUCAAAAUAUUUGGAUAGACAUUUUAUUAUCCAAGUCACGUUACUCAAGCCAGCGAAUGUUAAAGACUUUCUAAUUAUCUGAAUCUUUUAUUUCAUAUUAUCCAAGUCACGUUACUCAAGCCAGCAAAAAAAAAAAAAUGUUGCUUGAAAACCAUUCAACCAAGUCCUUAAAGACGAUUUCCUCAAAAUAUUUGGAUAGACAUUUUAUUGAUAAUACUUUAGACGAGUAACAUGACUUAUUAUGAGAUGCAGUAAAAAAACAUAUAAUAUAUUAAUAAUGUUUGGAUUGAAUCUAUCAAUUCAUUGAGUAUAAAUUGGUAAGAGAUUCAGAAAUAUUAAGAUUUGAAUGUAACCUAAACUUGAGACUAAUUCAGGUUUUGUUGACUUGACGCCGCUUAAGACUACUCAUCGAGGAGAUUAAUUUCAUUCAAUCAAUGAAUAAUAAAAAAUAAUGGAUAGAGAUUCAGAAAAUUUCAUGAAAGAAACAGUAGCAUUUAAACAAACAGAAAAAAGAAACACACCAAUUACAGAGAUUCAAUUUGCAGGGACAAAAGGAAAAAAAAAAGGGCCAACAAUUUUACAAUGCUAAAUACAUAUACAGGAAAAAUGGUCAUAUUCUUAAGUAAGUACCAACUGAACACAACGUACUGAAAGAAUUGAAAACAUACAAAAGAAAAAAGAAACCAAUAAAAACAAGACAUAUUUUCAGUCUUUUGGGGUGAAAAGUUGGUCACAGCUGAAACUUUCUGUUGAGUCUGGGGCAUGAAAUAAACGGAUCCCACAUUUUUUCGCCGGCCAAUCCAGAGAUUCAAAACUAUUAGUAUACCGCACAUAGAACCGGACUGCCACAGGAACCCGAUUGUAUUUCCGAAAAUCAUUAAAUUCCUUAUCAUCGAAGAAAUAGCACCCAAAGAAUAAGUGAUCAGACACUACACAAUCACUUACCCCAAGUAACAUCCUCCGGCUCGUGCUGCAGUGCGGAAGAUAAUCUUUGGGUCUCACUAUGUAUUCACAGUACAUGUAAAACCGUUUUUCUAUUUUUGAAGUGCAGAAAAAGCUAAACUCUCUGCUAAAAUUUACAAUAACGCUAAAAGCAAGCCCAAUGACACUUUUAUCAUUGAAGAAAUCUGGUGGCAUCUCCAAGGUUACACAAGAUCCGGCACUUUGAAAGCUAAACCACUUUGGAAUUUCAUUCCAAGGUAAAAAGCCGCGACCUUCACGGGAUGGAUAAGAUAUCUAUAUAUACACACGAAUCAAAAUUAAAAAAAAAAAAUUGUUAAUAACACUUAAUAGAAUAAAGAUCACUAAAAUUUAAACAGAAAAAUUUAAUAAAAAAAAAAACAGAAUUAACUGUAAAAUUAUACGGCAUUGAAGAAAGAGGACAAAAUAAUCAAUUAACAUUAUAUCACCAAACACCACGUUAUGUUAUAGUUCAUUCUGUCAUCGCUUUCUUUAGCUUUUCUUCUAAAUAAAAAGGAGAGAGUUAAUUAAAGACAUACCUUUUCCCGUGCUUCUUUUAAACGUGCGGUUGCCAAAAGCUGAAUUUUCUGCAGGGCGCCUUUGACAAUUCCUCCGAGGUCAUUCGGAUCUAAUUUAAAAUUAUCGCCCAGGUUCAAAGUCCGUAAAUAAGAUUCAUUACUACUUGGGAAUAAACCUGGUAAUGAUUCCAGUGCCGUGCAAUGAUGCGCAUCCAACCAAACCAGAUUGCAUGGAAGCUUUGGUAAGGAUUGAAGCCUCUCGCAAUACCUUAUGAAGAGCCUUUCCAAAUUAGAAAGUUGUAUGAUGCUUUCUGGUAUUCUCUCAAAAUUGUUUCCGUCUAGAUGCAGUUCUGUUACCAAGGAUAACAGGCCAAGACUUUCAGGUAACUCCGUGAUGCCGCAAUCAUUUAGAUUUAAAUCCCUUAGAUUUUGCAAGCCAUCCACAGAGAAUGUGAUUGGCAAUGAUAAACCCCUGUUUCUCCCAAAAUAUAUCGCACGAACGCUUUUCAAACGGACGAUCGAUGGCGGUAAUUCUCUUAUAGCAGUUCCUACAGCAUGCAAACUAUCCAAAGCUUCUAAAUAUCCAAGUUCCUCAGGCAACCUCUGAAGAUUUGAGCAACCAUCGAUAUUGAGAACAUCUAGAGAUUUCAACUUACAAAGGCCGCUUGGGAGACUCUUGAGACUUUUACAAUCUGCAAGGUCCAAGCGCGAAAGCUUAGAUAGACACUCGAUGGAUGAGGGCAGUUCCUCCAGUGCAGUUCCAUCUAAAUGCAUUGUUUCUAUAUUACCAGAUGAGAUCUCUGGAAGCCUCUUCAGUUUUGAGCAGCCCGAAAGAUUGAGUUCUUUAAGCAAUUCCAAAUGAAUUCUAUCUGGAAGACUUUGCAAGUUUCCACAACCGCUUAGGUUCAGGAUAGCUAGCUUGUUCAGAUGUUGAGUCGACAACGGGGUUGGAGUUUUUGAAAAAAAAUUGAAGGCAGCAGUGAUUAUCUGGUAUAACUUGCCAUGAUUCUGCUCGGACGAAAAGAGAAAAAACCCAAAGAGGAAAAAAAAAAAAAAAAAAAAAAGCCCACCAAGACAAAUCAUUAGCAUGUAUGAUAAUUAAACAUUGUUACCGAAACUCUAUUGUAAUUAAGAUAUAUGUAUAUAUACCUGCACAAUAUCGAAAAGUUGUUCAAUAUUGCUAUAAGGCAUUUCAAGUAAAACAAGUUUCUCUGGAUGAAUAUUUGAAGGCAAUGAUUUCAAUGGAUAUCCAUGCCAGUGCAGGUACCUCACUUCAGUAAAUUCAGAACCUUGGAAAUGGGACACCUUACAUUUAUUCUCUUCAUCCAUUGAGUUAUAAAAUUUCAAAAUUCUCAAGUUAGGCAUCUUUGCGAAAACGUUGGGAUGCAGAUUGAUGUCUUUUACUUUAGACAUAUCCAACAAGAUGCCCUCGAUUGCUUCAGUCCCCUAAUUAUCAAUAAUAGGAAAAAAAAAGAUUAUAUCAAAUUGUUAUAUAUAAUUCAAGUUGAUAGUUACUUUAUGGCAGUCAAACUCAUAUUUGUAAAAGUACAAAGAAGCAUAAUUAAUACAAGAAAAUAUAAACAUUUAAACUAUAUCUGUAUGUAUGUAUACAAAUUGUUAUAUACAAGUGGACAUAACAUAUUGCUGCACACUUCCGCAAUCAUCCAGGUCAGGUUUUAUACAAUUGAAUCCAUUUUCUCUUUUCUUAUUAAACUAUGGGGCUAAUUAUUUUGGCAAAUAUAAAAUAGAAAAAUUCAAGAAAAGGUUUAACAUGUAAAAUCUAAUAUUAAUUUCAAUAUUCCCAGAAAAAUAUUACUAUUUACAGGGUGAGACGUAUUUAUAACCCCAAAUGAACUUUUCUUUUUGAGAAUUUUAAUUGUAAUUAAAGAAUCUUAAAAGUCAAGAGACCAUUACGUAAUGAAUUAAUGAUGAAAGAAAUGUCGUGUUAAGAGUGCAAAGAAAAUUACCGAUGAAAAGGCUAUUAAAAAUGAGGAAAUUGAAGUGUUUAGGAGAGAACAAAUGUGAUGAAUAAUGUGAAAAACUUAAUUUGAAUUUGUGAUCAACAUGGUAAAAAAGAAUUAAUGAACAAGGAUAAGCGGACUUUAAACCAUUAAUAGAAAGUACAGGGGUUAGAAUUUUUUUGCACCAAUUGUUGUUAUUCAAAUUAAAAGCAAAGUUCAAUCAGAAUAUUAAUCUCAAUCAAACAUAUAAAAAAAAAUAGAAAUGAAAAAUUAUUGUUGCGCACCCUGUUUUCUGAUAAAAUUUUAUAAACCUCUUUGUGAUGCCACAGCCGACUGCGUUUUCCAGGAUCAUUGGUAGAUUCUUGUCGGACAAUUUCUCUGCCCAUAGCUCGCAAUAAAUCAUGCAUUUUUAUUUUAUUGCGGACUGAUAUAGUGAUAAGAUGCUUAUCAACAAGAACUUCUAUUCCCGAUGUAGCAAAGAAUUCACAAUCAUCAAGGAAUUUUGUCACAGUGUCUCUGUCCUCAUCGAUAAAGAAACAUGCAAUAUCCAAAAAAACAUUUUGCUCUUUGUCAUCCAAACCAUCAUAACUUAUUUUUAAGGCGUCCUGAAUUCCUUUGGGGGGAGCUGUUUCCCAUUUACUUAUUGCAUUUUCCCACACCUCUCUUCUCUUUCCAUAAAGAUAGCGACCCAAAACUUCAAGUGCUAAUGGAACUCCGCGAGCAUAUUUUAUUAUCUUGCAUGCCAGCUCUGUAUGACUUUCAUGGGGAUGAUCUCCUUCAAAGGCAUGUCGACUGAAGAGCCUAAGGGCGUCAUCAUGUACCAAUUCCUUCAUCUGAUAUACUUCAUCAACUCCACAAUUUGCAAGCACUUGUCUAUCUCUCGUUGUUAUUAUUAUUCGACUCCCGGAAGCAAGCAAAUCGAGACGUCCAACUAAAAUCUUUAUUUGUCUUGGAUGAUUCACAUCAUCAAAAACAAUUAGAACCUUCUUGCGAGUAAGCUUCUUGCUCUGAAAAUUGAGGUCGAUAUUCGGAAAGUUCUUCACAUUUCCAUCAUUCAACAAUGUAGAAAGAAGUUGUUGUCGCAAGUCACCUAAUCUGCCGGUUUCUUCUGCCUCUCUAACAUUACGAGCAAAGAAAGAACCUGCAAAAUGUCUAGAGAUUUUGCUAAAAAUGGCACCCGCAAUGGUUGUUUUGCCUAUACCGCCGAUACCCCAAAUGCCAAGUUUGUAAACAUUCGUUGACCCAGUGCGUAACAAUGAUUCAAUUUCUUUCAUGGGUAAUCUAACUCCGACCAGGUCUUCGUUUUCACUUUGAAAUGUGUCAUCCACCCUCUUCAAAAUUGCAUUGACAAUUUCCUCUAUAAGUGCAGAUUCAGUCCUAGCAAAAAAGUAACAAUAUUUAGAAGUUCACAUGUAUGAAAAGGAGAGGGAGAUCAGAGCGUGCAUUUUUAGCUAAUUUAAUGUAUGGGAAAAUGAUCAGAAUACAAAAUUCUUUUAUUAAAUUAAUCAUUCAUUAACGAUUAAAUUUAAUAAAUAACAAGAGAGUUGAGAUCAUUUUCUUAAAAAAAAUAAAUUGAAAACUAGAUAUGCGUGCAAAUUUAAGAGAGAGAAUUAUUGUUGACCUAUAGACACGAGAAUCAAAGCCAGAGAGAUCGGCUGCUUCUGUCAAAGCAUUCCUCCAACUUUGCAUCUUGUCCGGGAAUCGUUCUCCAAGCUUCAAAAAUGAAUCCCCAAAAUUACCGGUUUGCUUUCUCACGUGUGAUGGAUCAACCCGAUAGAAAGCUGGUAUCACAAUCUGUGCAUACUCUUUCUUGCAUUCGAGGAUCUUUAGGAGUUCAUCCAGGCACCAUCUGGAAGAAGCAUAUCUUUCCGAAAAAACGAUAAUUGAAAUGCUUGAUGCCUCAAUUGCAUCCACAAGAGACUGCGAAAUUUCAUCUCCCCUCCUCAGAUCGUCAUCAAUGAAAGUUUCUAUGCUUUCCCGAGACAAAGCUGAAUAAAGAUGGCUAGUAAAGUUCUCGCGCGUGUCCUCUCCUCUGAAACUUAGAAACACAUCAUACUGGACUUCAGGAUUAGUCAAACUACCAUGUGGAUGAGAGGAAGAAGAAGAAGAAGAAGCCAUAACAGUUCAAUUGAUGAGAGAGAGAUUUUGAUGAUCAGAUGUAAAUUACUCAAUGCCUUGGAAAACUUGGUUGAGCUGAUUUGUUGACUUCAACUGAAGAAACAAAUAAUGGAUGACAGCUAAAUCCGACCGCACAAAUUGCUUCAUUUUUGUGUUGGAGAUUAUGGCCGUACUGUAUGUACGUAUCACGUUUUUGCAUUUAGCGCGUCUUUGGAAUACAGCUUAGAUACCAUUAAAAACACUGUUCUCAUUAAAGAAAUACUAUCACAACUUUGGCUAAAAAAGUAGAAGAAAUUACACUGCAUUAAAAUUCAAAUUAAUGCAAUUUUUACCGCGUUAUAUAGUCACGUCUUCCCCUCGGGUUUCAACAGCAAUGCACUAACUUUUAAUUUAUUAUUUCAUUAAGUUUUAUUAAAUUAGUGUUGUUAUUUGUAUAGACAAAUUAUUAUCUUGAAAAUUAAUGCUCAACAGCAGGCCAGCAGCUACUCCAAAUCACCAUUGUCGCCACCGACCACCAUUGCCGCGCGCCUCCAGCCCCCGGAUUGAAAUCCUUAUCAAUGGAGCGUUGCAACGUACAUCUUUUAUCGGAAAUGGACCAUCCGUUGUUCGCCGUGAAUCUAUGGUAAGAGUUUAAAAUUUUAAAAUUUUGACAGUAAAUAUAGUGAACCAAAGCUCCGUUACUGAUAACACAUAUACCGUUGACGGUUCAUGUUGGUCGACAGUAGUUGUGGCAACCGUUGGUGAAUUAUUAUUAUUUUUAAUAAAUUUUGUGGCAACCGUUGGUGAUUUAUUUUAUUUUUUUAAUAAAUUUAGGCAAUAAAUUAAAUAUAAUUAACAACUCCUACAUUCACUAAUACAAUAUACUCUAACGCAAUACAAUGUGUCGAAUACAUACUUAAAGGAUUACUCAAUGACAAUGCAUAUCAAAUUAUCAAGGAUAUGCGUAUGGUACAUUAUUAUAUUGCAAUGCAGUAUGUUAUUUUACGCGGAUUAUAUUGUAUUCGAUUGUAUUGCAUUGAUAUUGUAUUGUAUAUUUAUAUUCUUGUUAUACAUCAUUUUGUCCUACAUUAUAUUUUUUUAAUUAAAUUUUAAGUAAUUCAUUAAAAAUUUAUGUUUUCAUAAAAAAUAAUUAUUACAAUAACUUAGAAUACAUAAAUUCUUGAAAUUUUUACAUCAUUUUUUAAUUUUUAAUUGGAAACACGACCUUUAAUGUUACAUUACAAAAUCUCACGGCUAAUAUUUAAGAUAUCAGAAUCAUAAAAGAACAAUACAAGUAGGGACAGUGGCAGAUGUAAAAAAAUAAUUUACCAGGGGCUAAAUUAAAUAAUAGUAAAAUAUAAAAACUGAAAACUUGGAUAUAAUUUUUUUUUAUUUAAUGCAAUCUCUAAUUAAAAUGUGGCACCCACAAUUCAAUAAUUAGGAAUUAUAAAUAUUUUGGGCUGUAGGCUUUAAUUUUUAAGUCAAAGUAUAACUUUUGUAAUUAAUAAAAUAAUAGUUUAAAUUUUAAAGGAUGGGGCUUUCUAAUAAUUUGAAAAUACUAUUUAGAAAUAUAUUAAUUUUUCUUUAUGAAAUAGAGAUUUUUUUUUUUCAGUGGGGGCUUGAGCCCACAGUGGUCCUAUAGUGAAUCCACCUCUGGAUAGAGAUGGCAAUUGUGCCCGCAAACCGGCCCGCUGCGGAUAAUUUUACGGGUUGUGAGCGGGUUUGGUAUUACGAAUUGAAAUCCGCACUUGGAUGCGGGUGGGUUUGACAUUAGCGCAAUAUCUGACAGAUACAUGCAUGGAUAUCCGCUAGACCCGCAAUAUUUUUUAAAUAUAUUUAAUUUAAUUUUAAUUAAAAAAAUUAAAUCUAAAAAUAUAUAUAAAGAAAAUAAUGCAAUUAUGCAAAGUGCCAAAUAACCAAAGUGUUUUUGUAUGGACUAUUUUUCUUUAACUCAAUGCAUGAAUUAUUUCAUUAUUAUAAUUUUUUUGGGAUUAAUAUUUGAAAGGUAUUAUUCUUUGAAAAAUAUUAAUUUUAAUCAUUAUUGUAGGCAUCGUGUUUGAUAAGUGCUAAUGAUGGUAAAUGAAAUGAAAAUAUUUUCUUGGAGCUUGUGUUGAAUGAUAAUAUGAAAUGUAAUUGUUAUUUUUAAAUACUAGUUUGUGAUUUUUUUUUAAUGGAUUUGUGUAUUUUAUACUUAAAUUUGAGAAUUUGUGUUGGAUUGAUUUUGAAAUUUUAAUUUUUCAUUUACAUUAGUCAAAUUUAAAAUUGAGUAUGCUAUGUAGAAUUUGAGCUUAUUAUUGUAAAUUUAUAUAUUGAAUAUUUGUGAUUUUAAAUGUACAAAUUCAUAAAAAAUCCACCAAAUAUCAUUGCGGUUUUUUAAUUAUCAAAACCCGCAGCGGGUUGCAAUUAGAUUUGAUAAUUUAAAUUUUGUUCGAGUUUAAAUUUAAUAAUGGUAAACUCGCUGCGGGUGGUGCCCAUAGCCACCCAAACUGGACUGUAUAAAAAAUCUUAUAAAGCAAAUUGAAGUGCAUUCUUCUUGUCGUGAAAUGUGGGGCGAAGAGAUCAGCCUACGCCAUCAAUGAAAGAAAAUAAUUAAAGGAGUCAAUGAUCCGAGUCACCGUUGCAGUACUAGUCAUUGGGGCCUUCGCUUGAUAAUUACAACAUUUGGAGGUCCAUUUGCAGGCAAAGUCCAACCGUAGGAGAAGGUCAUGCACAUUCGCUUUUCCUUUCCCAUUAGAUAAGGUGAUGAACAUCAUCUGCCACGUGGCAUCUCCUUUUGAUCAAAGUCCAACCGUAGGAUGUGACUUCGACAAAGGCAACAAGUAUAUAUAUAAAAAAAGGGAGCAGAGCAAGAAAAUUAAUUCACCAGAAUAUUUUGUACUAACUAGAAAGAAGAGAGCAAAAAUGACAUCCCAAAUGGUUUCAACGCACCAUGUUUGUAUGUUACCGCAACCACCGCAGUAGCUCAAACAAGCAUGGUCGCACAAGGUGGCGUAGCAAGAAAAUCAAAUUAACGGAGUUUUUAAUUAAAUACCCUUCAAUAGUUACAAAAUUAUUUAAAUACCCCCUCACUUUUUAGUUUUCAUGGAUACCCUAACAAAUAUGAGUAAAGUCUGAAAUAUCCUUAAUGAAUGCAUCAAAUUCACUCAACUUCACUAUCUUUAUAUAUCUUUCACCCACAUCUCUUCUUACCGCCGAAAUUCUCUCAAAAUCUCCUAAAAUCUAUCAAAAUCUCUCAUAACUUCUUACACAAAUACAAUUAUGUAUUCAUUUCUUUAAUCCCCACUCUUUCUUUAACUGAAAGGAGAUGCAUUGUUUAUUAAACAACCCAAUAAGGUAUGUUAAUGUUGUUAGGUUUUAAGUUUUUUAAUUUUUAGGAAAAUUUAGAAAAUUUUCUCACAUUAUAAUGUUUUAUUUUUAAUUAUUUUCACCAUUUUUUCUUAUAUGUAGAAAUAUAUGCAAUGUAGGUUGUUUAAUUAUUUUUUCAGCAAUAUAAUUUAUUUAUGGCGAAAAUGUUUCGCGUCGUAAAUUCCUUUUGACAUCGUGUACGUCAUGUAGUCAGUCAUGUAGGUCAUGUAGUCAUCUAGGUCGUGUAAUUCGUGUAAGUCAUGUAAGUAAUAUAGUCAUGUAGGUCGUGUAAGUCAUGUAAGUAAUGUAGUCGUGUAGGUCGUGUAGUUACUUGUAUAUGAAAUUUGAUAUUAUUUUUUUUAUUGUAUCAUCAGAUAUGAUUUUGGUACGUGCACCUAUUCUCUUCAAUGGUGAAUGUAUUGAGAAAAAUGACGAGUAUAAGUUCAAAGAUUCUAAGGCUAAAGGAAUAAUGAUACUACGAUCAACAACAUAUACCGAAUUGGUGGAGAAGAUAGUUGCAUUAUGAAAGAACUUAAUUUUUCGACUAAAAUUUGUUGCAUUAUGAAAGAACUUAAUUUUUUUAGAUUCCAAUUUAUGUAUCAUGUUAAUAUUGAUUUAUCCUCGUUUUCAAUAAAGGGAAAUCAAACUUAAUUGAUUUCAUUUAAAAAGCUUUUUUGUUUAGUCAGUUUAUAAGUACUAGUUAUGGGCAAGCAUGUAAACAUUUCUUAGUAACUGUUAAAUAUAUGGUAUUUUAUAUGGUAUAAUCUGUACGCACAGUUAAUUAGGUUCAUAAAUUGCAGCAAAUCCACUAAAUUUGCACAUCGGACAGUUCGAGAAAUAAUUAGAUUCAUUAGUAUAAAUAAACAACGUUAUCAGUGCACAGAUUUUUCAAUAUUUGGAUAGAAUACACUAAUGAGCAUCACAAUUAAACAGAUUACAACCAUUUUAUUCUUUUUUUAUCUUGAAAGUGCUUUCUUCCUCUUCCCAAGCAUACAUGCAUACAUGAGGACUGCCUGCAUAUAAUAAUUCCAUGAAAUCAAUUAAGAAAAAAACAUAUCAAUUAUAGGAAAUUGACUACACUUAAAUACACAGAAGAACACCAUUUAGAAAUAAUAAAAAUAAAUCAAACCUUAAGAAACAACUCUUAAUCAAUUCAAAAAACAAUACUCAACUAUUUAGAAGUAAUACAUGAAGGUCGUGUAAUACAUGAAAGUCGUAACAGUCGUGUAAUACAUGAAAGUAGUGUAAUCGUGCAAUACAUGACGGUCGUGUAAUUGUGCAAUACAUGUUUGGAUGGAAAUGGAGAGCUGCUGUACCGUACAUCCGCCUUGGCCGUACAGCAGAAAACUAAUUAGAGGGAAUUACUUACCUCAAGUAGUUACAUUCUGAUAAUUUUACAAUAAAGGAUUAGCGCUCGCCGGCGAUUGUGUAGUGAUAAACUAGGAUUCUCUUUCUCAGUUGUGGCAUCUUGCCCUUCUCAGGCUCAGUUUGCUCGUAUUGAUGUUCAAUUUAGCAUGUAUGGAGAAUGAGUGUUUGUUUGAGUAGAUGUGAUGCCGGUGAGGGAAUUGCAGAGGUGAGGGAAUUGAGAAUGGAGGAUGAGUGUUUGUUUGUUUGAGCAGAGGUGAUGCCGUUUGAGUUGAAGUGUUUUAAAAUAAGGAUAGUUUAGUAAUUUCCUAUCAGUUUUUUAAAGGGUAUUGAUGAAAAUUUUGGCAAAUUCUGAUUUUAGGGUAUUGAGAUAAUUUUUAAAGUAUCGAGGUGUAUAUGCUGCAAUUCCCUCAAAUCGAACAUCAAUACAAGUAAAUCAAGUCGGAGAAGGGGAAACUGCAACAAUUGAGAACGAGAAGCCUAGUUCGUCACUGCAUAAUUGUCGGUCAGAGCUGAUCCUUUACUGUAAAAUUGUCAGAAUCUAACUAUUGGAGGUAAGUAAUUCUUUAUAAUUACCUUUCUUGUUGAUAUUUAAGGAAAAAUAAAAAAAUUUAGGGUUUUAUAUUGAAAAAGUAGAUUAAUUAGUUGUGGGUUUCUCAUAACAUAUUCAAAAAUAAAUUUCUAGUUGUUCUACUGCAUGUAAAUUGUGAAAAAUCGAUGGAUUGUACUGAUUAUAAUUUGGUCAUGUAACACCUGAUUUAGUCGUGUAAGGUCGUGUAACAGGGAAUUUAAGGUUGCGCAAUACACGAGUUCAUAUAAUACACGACCCUUAGUUGUAUAUGACAUGACUUUUUUGUAAUAUUACACAACUGUCAAUCAUGUAUUACAGCAUCUUCACGAACUUCAGUUGUAUAUUACACGACCUGCAUGUAUUGCGUGAUUACUCAACCUUCACAUCUUAUACGAUUUCACGACCUUCUUGUAUUACACGAUUACACAACCUUCACGUAUUAUUCUAGUCAAUUUCCUCUCAUUGGUAUGCUUUUUUCCUCUCAUUGAUAUGCUUUCUCGUAAUUGAUUUCAUGGAAUUAUCAUAUGCAAGCAGUCCUCAUAUGUAUACAUAUAUGCUUGGGUAGAGGAAGAAUGCACUUUUAAAAUAAAAAAGAAUAAAAUGGCUGUAAUUUUUUUAACUGCUAUGUUAAUUAGUGUAUUAUAUCCAAAUAUUAAAAAAUCUCGAGAGAACUUUGUUUGUUUAUACUAAUUACUCUAAUAAUUUCUCGAAAUGUUGGACAUGCAAAUUUAGUGGACUUGUUGCAAUUUUAUAUUUCAUUUCAUUUACAAUUGGGGUGGUUGGAAAAUUAUAAGUCAUGGUAAAUCAUGUAUAAUUAAUGAGUUAGUGUAUACAAAUAUUUUUAAUUAACCGUGAGUACAACCGAGGUUCUUAUUAGGUUCUAUUACUACAUGUCAUACUUACCAAACUAAAAUACCAUAUAUUUAUAUAGUUUUUGUUAAAUCCAAGUUCCAACACCAUACACUAACCCAUUAAUAAUCAAUUUAUUAAUUUGUUAAUUUAUUUGUAAAUGAUCAAUUUAUCUUUUAAUGAUUGCAAAUGUUUCCUUUAAUAUAAUUUUGCUAGACAAUAGAAAUUGAUCUACGUUCAAAAGUAACGCAGAACGGGUUUCUAAACUCCAUUCCACUAGCUAAUUUCUCCAAAAAGAAUCCACAUCAUCAUUGGUUUGAAUUGUAACUGGUGGCAUAGGAUAAAAUGCCUUAAGCUUGAACUUCAUUGUAAUUUCAAAUUUCUGAAAUAUCUAUAUCAAUAACUUGAGCUAUCUUCUCCACCAAUUCGGCAUAUGUUGUUGAUCGUGGUAUCAUUAUCCCUUUAGCCUUAGAACCUUUGAAAUUAUAUUCGUACUUUUAUUCAAUUCAUUCACCAUUUAAGAGAAUAGACACAUGUACCAAAAUCAUAUAUGUUGAUACAAUAAAAAUAAUAUUAUUAAAUUUCAUAUAUAAAGUAUCUACACGAUCUACAUGACUUACACGACCUACACAACUACAUUACUUACAUGACCUACACAACCUACACGACUAUAUUACUUACAUGACCUACACGACCUACAUAGCUACAUGACCUACACGACUGACUACAUGACGUACGCGAUGUCAAAAGAAAUGCAUGACUCAAAACAUUUUCGCCAUACAUAAAUUAUAUUGUUCAAAAAAAUAAUUAAACAACCUACAUUGCAUAUAUUUCUACAUAUAAGGAAAAAUGGUGAAAAUAAUUGAAAAUGAAACAUUAUAAUGUGAGGAAAAUUUCUAAAUUUUCCUAAAAAAGUAAAAAAUUUAAAAUCCAACAACAUUAACAUACCUUAUUGGAUUGUUUAAUGAGUAAUGCACCUCCUUUCAAUUAAAAAAAGAGUGGGAAUUAAAAAUGUGAAUACAUACUUGUAUUUAUAUAAGAAGUUAUGGGAGAUCUUGAGAGAUUUUAGGAGAUUUUGAGAGAAUUUCGAUAAGAAGAUAUUUGAGUGAAAGAAGUGAAAGAACUAUGAAGACAAAAAAGUGGAGUAAAUUUGAUACAUUCAUUAAGGGUAUUUAAGACUUUACACGCAUUUGUUAGGAUACCCAUGAAAAUAAAAAAAGGAAGGAGUAUUUAAAUAAUUUUACAAAUUUUAAAGGGCAUUUAAUUAAAAACCCCUUUAGAUUAUAUGUACCGCACUAUCCCUUUUUUUUUUUUUUUAAUUUUAAAGAAAACAGUUUGAAGAGAACUAUCCCUCCUAAAUUCAAUUGUCAAUACUUUCUUUCUGUUCGUGAAACAAAAUCCUGAUUCUAAAAUUUCACUUCACAAUAAAUAAACGGAAAGUCAAAUGGCGAAGGACUCAUUUUAGGUGUCAACACGUACGUCAAAACAAUAAAUCUUCCCAAUUUAUUGUUUGUCCAUCCAAUUGGAUAGAAUAAACUGACUUUAUCUCCACUAAUUAAUCAUUUUAGUGUAGCAUUAACAUUCUAAACAAUUGCAUUUUCCAGGUAAAAGAAGAAUGUACAUGGGAGAUCUACGUUAAUUACUCAAACCUCCUAAGUGGUUGCAGUCAAUAGACCGCAUUUACUUGCGUACAAGUUACAUAUAAAUUAUUUAUUUCCUUCAUUUAGUUAGCUGGUUUCUGCAACAUACAUAAUUUGCAAAUUAAAUUCCCACUACGAUAUGCCCGGAAGUUCUUCACUCGUUAUAUAUUUGGUUACCAGGUUCACGCUUGUAAUAUUAAUGCUUUCUUUUGGUCAGAAACUGUAAUUUAGGUCAUUAUAUUGCGGACAAUGCGGAGUAUGUACAUGUGUAAAAAUUUUCAUGAGUUGCAGAAAAGCACCUACAUCAGUGCACAGAUGACAAGGAAAUUUUUGCGGAAAAUUGUUGUUGACGAUAUACAAUUUAUACUGCAUUCUAUUCUGUGUCUUGUUGUUUCAGUUAGCUUCUUUGUAGGCAGGGGGAUGGGUAGUAUAUUAUUAAUUGAUAAAGGAAAUAUGGGAGAGCCAGAAUGCCAGAGUUCUUAAUAUCUUUGAAAGGCUUAUGAAGGUAAGAGCUGCAAAUGGAGAAUGUCCUUUAGUGCCAACCCAAGCAGAGCAAAUGCCGUACUGCUUUUGGUCCCUAUAUCGUAAUGCAGGGGAAUGGUAUUUGCUUCCCUCUUGGUUUUAUUUUGAGGAAGUAUGGCUUUAACAAAACCACUAGUAUGAUCUGUGAUGAAAAAUUUGUGGGCAGCCCUACCUCUCACCACUUUUCUGAUUUCUCAAUGAUAAAAUUUUAAUGGGUCACUUAAUUGAUCUCCCCUCAAUUGCUACCAUGUAAUAACAAAACAAGAAACACCGCGAGAGUCAAGAGCAGGCCCCAUUGGAGAGGCUUUAACAAAACCACUAAUAUGAUCCGUGACGAAAAAUUUGGCUACCCUACCUCUCACCACUUUUCUUUCAUGAUUUAAUUUAUUUCCAACAGCAGUGUCUUCAGUGAACGUAAAUAACUGUAGCCAUAUACUUGGUGCUUCUGAUUAAGGACAGUGAACUUGACUGAGAGGAACAGGAAGGGACCACUAGAUUAUGAAUGUUUAGUUGGUCUGCAUCUGCUACAAGGUUUGGCAAAGUGGGGUUUGAAGCUAGAAAUGUGAAAUGCAAUUGGUAAUGGUAUGACCCGUCCUUAAAAGUGGGGAUCCUAAUCCUGUGUCAUCCCACGACAUGCAACAUGUUAUGGUUCCUCGUGCUUCCAUUGUUCUGUUCCUUGCAAAUAAGAAUCCACAACUUUUUAAAAACAAAAAUGAGAAUUCUACUAUUCAUUCAUUCGUUACACAAAAUAUCUUUGAUAAAGUUAUAUAUAUAAUUUUUUUUUAAGUGAUAAAGUAUUCAAUAGUUCAUAUCCCUCCAAGAAUUCAAAACUAAAUGCUUCAUGGGUGUGAAUUAUUUCAAUUUUGUGGUUAUGACACACCAAAAUCAUCUUCUGCCGCGUGGCUCCUCCUCUAGAUCAAAAUCCGACCGUAGGAUGUAACUCCACCGAAGCCAACAAGAUAUAAAUAACGAGGGGAGCAACAGCAAGAGCAAGAGCAUUCACAAGAACAUUUUGUACUAGUUAGAAACAAGAAAAUCCCAGAUGAUUUGAACAGCGAGUGUUACCACCACCAUUCACCGGCCUCAAGUCCACCGCAGCCUUCCCCGUCACCCGCAAGAGCAACGCUGAUUUCAGCUCUCUCCCUAGACCCGGCAGCAGGGACCAGUGCAUGCAAGUGCGGCCGCCCAUUGGCAAGAAAAAAUUCGAGACAUUCUCUAAUAUCCUGAAAUACAAGUUGUGCAACCCAAGAGGGGGUGGAUUGGUAUUUUAAAACUUAUCCUAACAAAACCACAUAAUUAUCCAAUCUAAUACCUUAGUAAAUUCGAAAGCAAUAUGUUUGAUAAAAGCACAAUAAUAAAUGAGUAAGGGAAAAGAAAAACAAACACACGAAUUUUUACGUGGUUCGGCAAUCCCUGUCUACGUCCACGCCUCCAAGCGAUCCAAGCUUGAGGAUUUCACUAUCCAAGCCUUCCAAGGCUUCAAAAGCUUAUAAUUGACUUCUAAGGUGUCAAUGAACCUUUACAAUAAAGAGAUUAUCUCACAAUCUCUUCACUCAAGUGUCUCACACACUUAAACACUCACAAAUUUUAUGAGGAAAUGAAAAUUACAAUAAAAACUAUCUUAAAGAGUAUAGAUACAAAUUGAAGAACAAAAGAUAAUUCAAUAUUUUUUUUUUAUUUGCGAAUAUGAGAGCUCAAUAUAUGUUGUGUGCUUUUUUAAUUUUGCUUUCUAGAGAGCUUGAAAAUGAAUUGGAUUUGAGUUUAUAUAGUUUGAGCUCAAAAACUAGCAGUUAUGCACAUUUUGGUGAUAACUGGCUUAACGUUUAUGGAAUCCGGUUAGCCGCUUUUAUGUUAUUGUUACAGCAAAAAUUUGAAUUUCAGAACAUCCGGUAUGCCGUUUACGAUAUCCGGAUAGCCGUUAAUGUUCCAGAAGCUUACUGUCCAAAAUCCAGUUAGCCGCUUGAUACAGUAACUGCUACAGUGAACUAUUUUUCUAAAAUUAUAGUUUGACCUCAAAACUUUAUAUAACUAUGUUAUGGCCCAAAACGUUAUGAAUCUUUUCAGAUAAGUCUAAUUUCGAAAUUUCUAAGUAAUACCUUGUUAAUCCCAAAACUUUUUGAAAUUGUGAUAUCACCCAAACAAUGUGAAAUUAUAGAAUGACCCAAAAUAUUUUAAUAUUUUCAAAUAGUCCAAAUCCGUUAUGAAAAGCUUCCCCUUAAUCAAUGCAAGGUUUAAAGACUAAUUUAAAAAAGAGUUAUAAAAACUCCCCCUGCAUAAGUGCAUAUGAAUAUUUUUCAUAACAAAUGAAUUUCUCAUAUUUCCCAUUUACAUAUUAUAUCUCCCCCUUCAUCAUAAAAAAGAAUAAAAGCUCCCCUAUCAAUCAUCGAAAUCUCAAUGCAACACAUUAGUCCAAAAAUACCCAAAGCAUAAGGAAAUAACAUAUCAUCCAUGAAAUAACAAACAAUAAAAACAAAUCUAUAUCAUCCAAAACAAAUACAUAAUCCAAAAUCAUAACAACCAUUUAUAUAAGCAAAAAUAAAGGAACAUAAAGUAGUAAAUGAAAUGUAGGUGUGUCUAAAUACAAGCAUAAGAGACUACUGAGGUGGUGAGGAUGGUGGUGAUGGAGGAGGAUACGGAUAUGGAAUGCUGAAAUGCUCAAAGAGGAGGCGCUGUCCAUGAAUGAGCUGCUGCUGAAACUCAGUCUGCCGCACAGAGAGUGUCCUUACCUCAUCCAUAAGCUGUUGAAGAGGAAUCUCGUCAUAAAUAGAAGGCUCGGGAGGUGGUAAAGCAGGUGUAGAGGCAGCAUGAGCAGAGGUAGAAGUUGGAGGAUCUUGACGUCGACGCUGGCCUCGAAACGAAAGUGAGAAAUCAGGAAGUUGAUCACUAGGAUCCACAACGUUGAGUGGUCGAUCAUCACUCGGAGCAAGGAAAGUGUACUUGUUUUCAAUGAACUUGACCCAAGUGCCAUUACUCCGCUCAAAACCUAAGCUAAAUACAACGUCAUCCCCUAUACCCUUAGACGGUCUACACAAUGGUUCAUGAAUCAGUACAUUAAAGUGUUUAAGGAUUCGGGUAAUGAAGUGACCAUACAGAAGGGAGUGGGUAAUCAAGGCAGGUAUGGUCAACAUGGUUUGGAUGAUGGUAUAUCCUAAGUUAACCGGACGACGUCUAAGAAUACAAUCAAUCAAAGCAACGUCCAUGUGGAAAACCUUAUCCAAAUGCCCUGAUCUAGGAAAAAUAAUGGACUGAAUAAAGCGAAGCAAAAUACGAGUUUGAAGACAAAGAUAUUGAGUACGGAAAUGAAUGGUACAAUCUUCAACAAAAAGAUCAUUACGCCGAUAUAUAUUACGAACGGCGUCAACAUGAACAUAACUAUCAAGUUUGGGAGAUUUCCUAGGCGAAAAAAUUUCUAGGCCAAAAUCAGAUGAUCCUACUGCUGUACGGCCAAGGCGGAUGUACGGUACAGCAGCAAUGAACCUUUACAAUAAAGAGAUUAUCUCACAAUCUCUUCACUCAAGUGUCUCACACACUUAAACACUCACAAAUUUUAUGAGGAAAUGAAAAUUACAAUAAAAACUAUCUUAAAGAGUAUAGAUACAAAUUGAAGAACAAAAGAUAAUUCAAUAUUUUUUUUUUAUUUGCGAAUAUGAGAGCUCAAUAUAUGUUGUGUGCUUUUUUAAUUUUGCUUUCUAGAGAGCUUGAAAAUGAAUUGGAUUUGAGUUUAUAUAGUUUGAGCUCAAAAACUAGCAGUUAUGCACAUUUUGGUGAUAACUGGCUUAACGUUUAUGGAAUCCGGUUAGCCGCUUUUAUGUUAUUGUUACAGCAAAAAUUUGAAUUUCAGAACAUCCGGUAUGCCGUUUACGAUAUCCGGAUAGCCGUUAAUGUUCCAGAAGCUUACUGUCCAAAAUCCAGUUAGCCGCUUGAUACAGUAACUGCUACAGUGAACUAUUUUUCUAAAAUUAUAGUUUGACCUCAAAACUUUAUAUAACUAUGUUAUGGCCCAAAACGUUAUGAAUCUUUUCAGAUAAGUCUAAUUUCGAAAUUUCUAAGUAAUACCUUGUUAAUCCCAAAACUUUUUGAAAUUGUGAUAUCACCCAAACAAUGUGAAAUUAUAGAAUGACCCAAAAUAUUUUAAUAUUUUCAAAUAGUCCAAAUCCGAAAUUGAAAACAAUAUUUAUUAAAAUCAAAGAUUGUAAAAUUCUUUCAUUUUAGUCCACAACUUGAAAAACAACUUAACUCCAUAAAACCAUUUUCUUAUUAUAAAAGCACAAUACAUAAAUUUUUGUUCAACCAAAAACAUGUGGUUUGUUAUCAUCAAAAUCAAUAUUUAUAGCUAUAUAGGCUAACAAUCUCUCCUUUUUUUAUGAUGACAAAACACAUUUUAAAAAAUUUAAUUUAGUUAUGAAAAGCUCUCCCUUAAUUAAUGUAAGGUUAAAGACUAAUUUCAAAAAGAUUUAAAAGACUUCCCCUGCAUAAAUGCAUAUGAAUAUUUUUCAUAACAAAUAAAUUUCUCAUAUUUUCCCUUUACAAAUUAUAUCUCCCCCUUCAUCAUAAAAAAGAAUUAAAGCUCCCCCUAUCAAUCAUCAAAAUUUUAAUACAAGCACAUUAGUUCAAAAACAGCCAAAACAUAAGGAAAUAACAUAAUAAUCAAUCAAAGCAAAUCCAUAUCAUCCAAGACAAAUACAUAAUCUAAAAUCAUAACAAUUAUCCAUAUAAUCGAAAUAAAAGUACAUAAAGUAGUAAAUGAAAUGUAGGUGUGUCUAAAUACAAGCAUAAGAGACUACUGAGGUGGUGAGGAUGGUGGUGAUGGAGGAGGAUACGGAUAUGGAAUGCUGAAAUGCUCAAAGAGGAGGCGCUGUCCAUGAAUGAGCUGCUGCUGAAACUCAGUCUGCCGCACAGAGAGUGUCCUUACCUCAUCCAUAAGCUGUUGAAGAGGAAUCUCGUCAUAAAUAGAAGGCUCGGGAGGUGGUAAAGCAGGUGUAGAGGCAGCAUGAGCAGAGGUAGAAGUUGGAGGAUCUUGACGUCGACGCUGGCCUCGAAACGAAAGUGAGAAAUCAGGAAGUUGAUCACUAGGAUCCACAACGUUGAGUGGUCGAUCAUCACUCGGAGCAAGGAAAGUGUACUUGUUUUCAAUGAACUUGACCCAAGUGCCAUUACUCCGCUCAAAACCUAAGCUAAAUACAACGUCAUCCCCUAUACCCUUAGACGGUCUACACAAUGGUUCAUGAAUCAGUACAUUAAAGUGUUUAAGGAUUCGGGUAAUGAAGUGACCAUACAGAAGGGAGUGGGUAAUCAAGGCAGGUAUGGUCAACAUGGUUUGGAUGAUGGUAUAUCCUAAGUUAACCGGACGACGUCUAAGAAUACAAUCAAUCAAAGCAACGUCCAUGUGGAAAACCUUAUCCAAAUGCCCUGAUCUAGGAAAAAUAAUGGACUGAAUAAAGCGAAGCAAAAUACGAGUUUGAAGACAAAGAUAUUGAGUACGGAAAUGAAUGGUACAAUCUUCAACAAAAAGAUCAUUACGCCGAUAUAUAUUACGAACGGCGUCAACAUGAACAUAACUAUCAAGUUUGGGAGAUUUCCUAGGCGAAAAAAUUUCUAGGCCAAAAUCAGAUGAUCCUAGGAUAGAGUUUAACACUAAAACAUCAAAAUCAAUCAUAACUCCUCCAACAUUGGUGAUUAGUCGAGUCUUGUUCUCCUCGGAAACGUCCAUAUUCGAGUAAAACACUUUCACUAAGUCGGGAUAAACAUUCUCCUCAAUCAUAAGUACAUUAAUCCAACCAACAUCUACCAACAAUUGAAAUAAAUUUCUAUGACUAAAAUUGAGAGUAUUAAGUCAAUCUGGUAAAAUAUAAAACGUAUUGAGUACCUCACGAGUCCUAAAACUUUAGUGAAACCGUUUGGUUAAAUGUUUGUUGUUCUGAAAGUGUGUGGACUCAAAGUUGGAUUGAUUGGAGGUGCCCCCUGCUUGCCGUGAUCGUUUGGUGGGUUGAACCGGUUCUUUGCCUUUUCCUCGAACCGGUCGCGAGCUUGACAUGAUGAUUUUGAAUGAUUUGAAGUGAAAUGAGGCAAUGAGAAGGGAGAUGAUGAGGAUUGAAAGAGAUUUUGAGAAGCAAUUUGGAUAAAAAAUGACUUAAAAGGAAGAAAUCUAGAGAGAUAAAAUUUGGUUGAAACCCUAGAUUUGAUUUCGGAUCUAGUGAUUUUGAGGUUGAAAAAGGAUUUGAUUUCGGAUCUAGUGAUUUUGAGGUUGAAAAAGGAUUUGAUUUCGGAUCUAGUGAUUUUGAGGUUGAAAAAGGAUUUGAUUUCGGAUCUAGUGAUUUUGAGGUUGAAAAAGGAUUUGAUUUCGGAUCUAGUGAUUUUGAGGUUGAAAAAGGAUUUGAUUUCGGAUCUAGUGAUUUUGAGGUUGAAAAAGGAUUUGAUUUCGGAUCUAGUGAUUUUGAGGUUGAAAAAGGAUUUUGGGCACAAGAAUGGAUGGGAAAUAAGUUUUAUGGAUCGAUUUGAAUCGAAAACGAGUGGAAGUGGUGGAUUUUGGAGUGAGAGAGAGAGAGGAAGAAACGGCUUGAGAGAGAAGGAGCUAUCCGGUUUACCGAAAGAAAGAAAUGGAAGAUUAACAGUUUAAAAUGCCUUGAGUUCGGCUUGUCGGAUUUCACUAACCGGUUAGCCGGUUAGUGUCCAGUGAGGGGAAAACCGAAUCCGGUAGGGGUGGGCAAAAAAAUCGUGCACUAGAGAAAAUCGAACCGAACCAAUCCAAACCGUUCCGUUUGGACCGAUUUUAAUUUUAAAAAAUAACCGAAAUAUAUGGUUUGUUAAAAAAUCGAAAUGUAGGUUCGGUAUUCGGUUCACUUAGCUAAAGCAAAAAACCGAACCGAAAAAUCGGGUUAUUCUUGGAAUUUUAUUUAAAUAGACACGUGAUAAAUUUUAAUUGGUUGCGUAAGAUAACUAAAAUAGGCAUGCACACACACGAUUACGGAUAGAUAUAUAUUUAAAAAUUGUUGUUGGUGUUUGUUUCCAAAUUUUCUUUUUAUUUUGUGUUGUAAGUUUUAAUUGUUGUUAUUUUUAUUUGUCUUUACAACAUUAUGUUUAUGUAGAUGGAGUAUUGGAGUUUGAUUAUGUAUUUUGAAAUCUUAAUAUUUCAUAUUUUGUAAGUAUCUUAUUAGUAGUUAGUAAGAUAUUAGUGAUAAAAUGUGUUUUGAAUACUUUGUAUUUAUUGCUAAUAUUUGUAAUGAAAUUAAGAUAAAUUAAUUGUUGAAAAAAAUUAUUACAUUCAUGAGGCCUAAUGGGCUAAAAAUUUAGAAAUUUAAAAUAGACCCCAUAAGCCCAAAAUCGAAAAAACCGAACCGAACCGAACCAAUACGAAAAGAUCCGUUUAUGUUCGGUUUUUAUUGAGUUCGUUCUUAUUUGGUUCUUUUUAUAAAAUAACCAAUUUAAAUCGGUUCUGCUUAAUUUCGAUAAGAACCGAACCGGACCGAACCGUGCCCACCCCCAGAAUCUGGUUUACCGGAUGCCACUAACUGGUUAGUCGGUUAGUGUUCAGAAUGAUGAAAGCCGAAACCGGCUUGUCGGUUUCUUUAUCCGGUUGUCCGGAUAGUUUUUAGAAUUUUUCAAAACUUAUUCGGCUUAUCGGUUUAAAGAACCGGUUUUGAGGCAGAAAAGAAGCUUAGCAAAUUCGGCUUUUUGGAUUGGAUAACUGGAUGACCAGUUUGUGUCCAGUAAGCUCCAAAACACAUCCGGCUUUCCCGUUUUUAUAACCGGUUGACCGAUUUUCAUCUAGAAAUAUUUCAAAACUAAUUCAGCUUACUGGUUUGAUAAAUUCGGUUAUCCGAAAUUUGCCCCGAGAGCAAUCAAUGAGAAAACAGUUUUCCGGUUGAGAGGAAGCGGUAUACCGGUUUAGACUUGAAAAUCUUUUUGCCUCUUAUUGAAUUUUGGCAAACUCUUAUACUUGUAUUAUACACACCAUUUUAUUUUUGGCUUAAAAUUUGAUCAAUUUUAAAUCAUUUUGUGAUUUAAAACUUUUCAAUAAGCUAUUCAAUGCAUGAACCAUAAAUGCAUACAAUAACAAACAUAUUAACUUAAUCAACAAAUCAUAAUUCAAGAUGCAACAUUCAUUAUUCCAAACUCAUGUCUUAUUUUUAUAAAGUGCUAUUCACUAAGAGGUUUUGUAAAGAUAUCUGCAAGUUGAUUUUCAGUAGAAAAAAAUUUAAUCAUAACAUCUCCUUUUUUAACAUGAUCUCUAAGGAAGUGAUGCCUAAUUUCUAUAUGCUUAGUCCUAGAAUGUUAAAUCGGAUUCUUGGAUAGAUUAAUAGCACUAAUGUUGUCACACAAGAUAGGUAUUUGAUCAAGAUUAAUACCAUAGUCUCUAAAGGUUUGUUUCAUCCAAAGAAUUUGUGUACAACAACUACCAGCGGCUAUAUAUUCGUCUGCCUCAGUGGCUGAAAGUGCAACCGAAUUUUGUUUCUUACUAAACCAAGAGACGAGUGAAUGACCUAGGAAGUGACAUGUUCCACUAGUACUUUUUCUAUCAACCUUAUAUCUGGCAAAGUCGGCAUCCGAAUAACAAGUUAAGUCAAUAUAAGUUCCCCUAGGAUACCAAAGACCAAGAUUGAUGGUGCCAAUCAAAUAUUGAAAAAUUCGUUAAACAGCAAGCAAGUGUGACUCUUUAGGACAAGAUUGAAAUCUAGCACACAAGCAUACACUAAACAUAAUAUGAGGUCUACUAGCAGUUAAAUAAAGUAAGGAUCCGAUCAUACCUCGAUAUGUCUUGAUAUCAACUUUCUUACCCUUCUCAUCUUUGUCCAGCUUGAUGGUAGUACUCAUUGGAGUGUUUUUUUCCGUUCCAUUAUCAUAGCCAAAUCUUUUGAAUAGAUCUUUCACAUACUUGGCUUGAUUUAUGAAAAUUCCUUCCUCGUUUUGUUUAAUUUGGAGUCCAAGGAAGUACUUCAGCUCUCCCAUCAUACUCAUCUCAAAUUCUUUGCUCAUGCAAUAAGAAAAUUCUUUACACAAUAAUUCAUUAGUAGAACCAAAGAUAAUGUCAUCAACAUAUAUUUGUACUACAAGUAUAUCUUGGUUCUUAUCCUUAACAAAGAUAGUAGUAUCCGUUUUUUCCAUUGAAAAAUCAUUAUCCAAUAGAAAAUUCUUAAGCUUAUCAUACAAUGCUCUAGGUGCUUGUUUUAAUCCAUAUAAUGCCUUAGACAACUUAUACAUAUAAUUUGGAAAUUUUUCAUUUUCAAAAUCAGGAGGUUGUUUUACAUAGACUUCCUCCAUAAUGUAACCAUUUAAGAAAGCACUUUUAACAUCAAUUUGGAAUAAAAUGAAAUUCUUAUGAUAUGCAUAUGCUAACAACAUCCUGAUGGAUUCUAAUCUAGCUAUAGGUGCAAAUGUUUCAUCAAAAUCAAUUCCCUCUUCUUGGUUGUAACCUUGAUCCACUAAUCUAGCUUUAUUUCUUACAACCACACCGGAUUCAUCCAUUUUUUUUCUAAAUACCCAUUCAGUGCCUAUAAUGGAUUGAUGUUUCGGAUUAGGAACUAAUUCUCACACAUUGUUUCUCUCAAAUUGAUUCAUCUCCUCUUGCAUUGGCAUAAUCCAAGAUUUAUCAUUUUCCGCAUCCGCAUAGGAUUUUGGUUCAAUUUGAGAAAUAAAUGCAGCAUGCUCACAUGUGUUCCUAAGAGAUGAUAUAAUUGUAACACCUCGUGAGGGAUCUCUUAAAAUUAUAUCAUUAGGGUGAGAAGAAACAUAUCUCCACUCCUUGGGGAGUAUUUGAGAAUUACCUUCAUUUUGCUCUACAUUUGUUUCUUCAUGAUAUUCCUCUUGAAUUCCAUGUGGUGCAUCUUUUUUGUUGUCAUUUGAUGCUUCUUCUUGUUGUUCUUCUUCUGUAUUAUCAUCAACAACAACUUUCUCCGUAGAAGAGGGGUUAGACUCAUCAAAUGUAACAUGCAUAGAUUCUUCCACAACCAAAGUUCUUUUAUUAUACAUUCUAUAAGCUUUGCUUGAGUUUGAAUAACCAAGAAAAAUACCAACAUCAGAUUUUGGAUCAAAUUUACCAAGAUUAUCUUUUGUGUUCAAAACAAAACAUUUGCAUCCAAAAAUUUUAAAAUAGCCAAUGUUGGGUUUUCUAUCUUUCCAAAGCUCAUAUGGAGUUUUGUUAAGAUUAAGUCUAAUCAACACACGAUUUAAAACAUAACAAGUGGUGUUGACAGCUUCGGCCCAAAAAUACGUAGGUAAGGAAUUUUCAUUCAACAUGGUUCUAACCAUUUCUUGAAUAUACCUAUUCUUUCUCUCUACAACUCCAUUUUGUUGAGGAGUCCUAGGUGAUGAAAAUUGAUGCUCAAUGCCAAAAUCAUUACACAAGUUCUCAAAUGCAUAAUUUUCAAAUUCUCCACCAUGAUCAUUUCUAAUACAAGAAAUACUACAUCCCUUUUCAUUUUGAACCUUUUUGCAGAAAACUUUAAAUGCAUCAAAGGCAUCAUCCUUAUUAGUUAAGAAUAAUAUACAUGUGUAUCUAGAAUAAUCAUCUACAAUUACAAAAGUAUAAUCUUUGCCAUUUAAACUAGCAUAUCUAGAAGUUCCAAAUAAAUCUAUGUGAAGUAAUUGAAGUGGUUUUGAAGUAGAAAUAUUUUUCUUACUUUUGAAAGAAGUUUUGAUUUGUUUUCCAAAUCGGCAAGCUUCACAAAUUCUAUCUUUUUGAAAACUGAUUUUUAGAAGACCUUUAACCAAAUCAUUUUUCACGAUUUUUUAAAUCAAAUCCAUGCUUGCAUGACCUAAUCUUCUAUGCCACAACCAACCAUCAUUAUGCAAUGCGGAGAAACAUUUAUCAUUUGUAGAUGCACAAUCUAUAUUAAUGGUAUAGACAUUAACACAUUUAUUUCCUACAAACAAAACCUUGCCAUCACAUACAUUCCCAAUAACACAUUUUGAUUCAUCAAAGAUAACUCUAUAUCCUUUAUCACAUAAUUGACUAAUGCUAAGCAAAUUGUGUUUUAAGUUUUCAACCAAACACACAUUUUCAAUAAGAAUAGAGGAUACAUUACCGACAUUGCCAAUGCCAAUGAUUUUUCCUUUUGAAUUAUCUCCAAACGAUACAUCUCUACCAUUUUCGAUCUUGGUAAAACUUGAAAACCAAGAAUAAUUCUCUGUCAUGUGUCUUGAACAACCACUGUCCAAGUACCACUUAUUCUUCUUAUUUUUCAAGCCCUGCAGAGAGAAUCUCAAGUCUUAAGUACCCAAACCUUUUUUUGUCCUUGAAUGUUAGCAAUUGUUUCUUUUGGAACCCAAACACAUUUGAUACCAUAAUAUGUAUUUCUUUUUACUAGAUAUCUAUUUUCCAUAUGAUCGCCUUGAUUACAAUAAUGACAUACAACUUGAUUAUUAGUGAAGGUAUUCUUCACAAAAUAACUCUUGUAAUAUUUUUGUUUCAAAUUUGGCUUAUAACCAAUCCUCAUUUGUCAAACACACACUUUUGUGAAUUAAGCAAGUUAUCCAACAUCUUUUGUCCAUUGGUAAAUUUUAGCACAAUUUCAUUUAGAUUAUUGCUCUUCUUUUUAAGAAUUUCAUUUUCAUUUUUCAAGUCAUUCACAUGUGAUUCUAAAUGCUCAUGUGAAGUGCUAGAAUUCUCAAAUAAUGCAACUCUAUCAUGCAAUGUUUUAUUCUCUAAUUCAAGGCAUGUAAUCUUUGCACUAAAUAAUUCAUUUUCAUUUCUAAGCUCUACCAUUUUCUUUUUAAGACAUACAUUCUUUUUACCAAUCUUCAUCCACUUAUCAUGAAAUUAUUUAAAGGCAUCAUGUAAUUCAUCAUAUGUAGGAAGAUCACUUGCCUCAUCAAGUUCAUCACAUGAUUCUUCCCCAAAGGUCAUGAGAGCUAAAUUUUUCAUUUCUUGUUGCUCUUCAUCAUCACUUGUUUCCUCAUCGCUAUCAUCCCACGUGGCCACCAUAGCUUUCUUCUUGAGUUUGUUGAGGAGAGGACAUUUCGAUCGUAUGUGUCUGGGUUUCUUGCAUUCAUAGCAAGUGAUUGGCUCUUUCUUCUCAUUUUUAUUCUUGUAGCCUCUGAACUUUCUCUGCUCAUUAUUCUUCUUGUAAAAUUUUCUGAAUCUUCUAGCCAACAUUGCCAACUUCUCAUCAUCCAUCUCGCUUUCCUCAUCACUCUCACGUUUUGAGGCCUUGAGAACAAUGUUUUUCUUCUUUUCCUCAUGCCAUUUCUCUGCUGCCAAAUCUUCUUCAUAUGAAAUGAGAGAGCCAAUUAAACCAUCAAUAGGUAAGACAUUUAGAUCUUUGGCUUCCUCAAUAGCAGUCAUUUUUGUCUCCAUUCCGUAGGUAGUGACCUAAUGAUUUUCUUAACUUUCUCGCUAUUAGAAAAAGUUUUUCCUAGGGCUCCUAAAGUAUUCACUAUGUCCGUAAAUCUAGUAUACAUAGAAUAUAAACUCUCAUUUUGUUCCAUUUGGAACAAUUCAUAUUGUCGAGUGUACCUACUAAUUUUCAACUCUUUCACUUAAUUCGUGCCUUUAUAAAUAACUUCAAGUUUGUGUCAGAUUUCGUUAGCACUUUCACAACUAGACACUCUAUGAAACUCUUUCUUAUCUAGUGCACAAAAUAAGGUAUUCACAGAUUUUGAAUUUAGAGAAGUUUUUCUCUUUUCCAAUUCAUUCCAUUCCCGUGAAGGUUUCAUAAUAUCUUCCCUGACUUCAUUUUUAAUCAAAGGCAUGAAAGGACCAUCAUUAACGAUUUCUAAAAUUUCAUAAUCUAAAGCUUGCAAGUAAAUUCUCAUUCUAGUUUUCCAAUACGGGUAAUCGUUUCCAUCAAAAUAUGGUGGUCUAGUGGUGGACUGUCCUUCCCUAAAUGUGGAAUCACUUUGAGUUUCCAUUGAUCUUUAGCUCUAGAUAGUUAAGUCUAAAUAAGAGCACCUUACUCUGAUACCAAAGGAAAUACAAGUUGUGCAACCCAAGAAGGAGUGAAUUGGUAUUUUAAAACUUAUCCUAACAAAACCACACAAUUAUCCAAUCUAAUAUCUUAGUAAGUUUGAUAAAAGCAAUAAGUUUGAUAAAAGCACAAUAAUAAAUGAGUAAGGAAAAAGAAAAACAAACACACGAAUUUUUACGUGGUUCGGCAAUCCCUGCCUACGUCCACGCCUCCAAGCGAUCCAAGCUUGAGGAUUUCACUAUCCAAGCCUUCUAAAGCUUCAAAAGCUUACAAUUGACUUAUAAGGUGUCAAUGAACCUUCACAACAAAGAGAUUAUCUCACAAUUUCUUCACUCAAGUGUCUCACACACUUAAACACUCACAAAUUUUAUGAGGAAAUGAAAAUUACAAUAAAAACUCUCUUAAAGAGUAGAUAUACAAAUUGAAGAACAAAAGAUGAUUAAUUUUUUUUUUAUUUGUGAAUAUGAGAGCUCAAUAUAUGUUGUGUCCUUUUUUUAUUUUGCUUUCUAGAGAGCUUGACAAUGAAUUGGAUUUGAGUUUAUAUACUUUGAGCUCAAAAACUAUCUGUUAUACACAUUUUGGUGAUAAUCGGCUUACCGUUUAUGGAAUCUGGUUAGUCGCUUUUAUAUUACCGUUACAGCAAAAAUUUGAAUUUCAAAACAUCUGGUAUGCUGCUUACGAUAUCCGGAUAGUCGUUUAUGUUCCAGAAGCUUACUGCCCAAAAUUCUGUUAGCCGUUUGUCACAACCAGUUAGCCGCUUGCUACAGUAACUGCUACAGUGAACUAUUUUUCUAAAAUUAUAGUUUGACCUCAAAACUUUAUAUAAUUAUAUUACAGCCCAAAAUGUUAUGAAUCUUUUCAGAUAAGUCCAAUUUCAGAAUUUCUAAGUAAUACUUUGUUAAUCCCAAAACUUUCUGAAAUUAUGAUAUCACCCAAACUAUGUGAAAUUAUAGAAUGGCCCAAAAUAUUUUAAUAUUUUCAAAUAGUCCAAAUCUGAAAUUGAAAACAAUAUUUAUUAAAAUCAAAGAUUGUAAAAUUCUUUCAUUUUAGUCCACAACUUGAAAAACAACUUAACUCCAUAAAAUUAUUUUCUUAUUAUAAAAGUACAAUACAUAAAUUUUUAUUCAACAAAAAACAUGUGGUUUGUUAUCAUCAAAAUCAACAUUUAUACCUAUAUAGGCUAACAUGUCCCACCACUUAAUAGAGAACAAUUGGCUAGGAAAGUUGAAUACCUUCUCUGCAUGGGAUGGAUUCGUUGUCUGGAAUUCAAGUGUAUAUAUAUUUAUGUAUGUAUGUAUGUGUAUAUAUAUAUGUGUGUGUGUGCGCGCGCGCAGGACGGAUUCGUGUGUUACGAAAACCAAUGAAAUCUAAUAUUUGUAAAAAUUUCAGCAAGUAAAAAGUCCAGAAGCUAAAUUCCCCAGCCACCAAGAAAUCUUUCUACAGCCACAAAACUACAAAGAAGAUUAAGGAAAGUGACUUUAUAAGGAAGGCCCACCACUAAUAAAUAAAAGCUAAAUUUAACUAAAAAAUUCAAGCCACCAAGUUUGACAAUAAUCUACAGCAAACCAAUUUAAUUUAACUGUUCAAUAGCUUCAAUUUUCCUCAGUUCAACAACUCUUCGAAAAACCCAGUUAAUUAAUGUAGAAGCUUCGAACAAUCCAAUUAAUAAAUGUAGAAGCUGUAAAACAAUAGUUAAUAGACACAAAUACAGAAAGUGAAGAAAUUAUAAAGCCAAGGCGUACUAAUGAAGCAUUGUCCCUAAAGAACUGAUUAUGUCCCUUCUCGGAUAAUUUUCCGGGUGUGUAAAGGAGUUAAAGAUAGUCUGAUCUUCCAGGAUUCAAUGGCGUUCCAGCUGUAUUGGCGCACUCCAAACUACAGUGAUUCUAACAGUUGAUUUAAUUUGAUUUUCCAGGUAAAGUGUGUAGCUUUAAUGAAGAUGGAGAGGAUGAUAAGAAUUUUUUUUUUCUUUGCAUACACAAAUCAGUCACAGCAGUUGGCUUUUUAUAGCCUUGAAUUACAACAGCCAUCUCCUUGAUUUUUGCCACAAAUCAGUGCAUGAACUGAUUUAAAAAUCGAAUAUCAAGCAACUAAGGUGCUAAAACAAAGCCACAACCACUGACAUGUAGAUAUGCUCAACUUGAAUAAUUCAAAUAGUUUAAAACUGAUUUUUCAAUCCAAAGUAAUGAAUAUAUAAGCUUUCAUCAUGUGGCUAGGAAAUGGACCAAGCCCGUGAAGGCUAUAUGUGCAUUUUUAAUUUUUGUAUUUUGAAAUACCUCACAAUUUCCAACAUCGUAUACCGUACGAACCACAAGUCUCUGGGGUACUAUGACGAGCGGUACUGGACAAUGUGGAAGCUGUCGAUGUUCGGAUGCACUGAUGCAAUCCAAGUCUUGAAUGAGCUCGAUGAGGCCAUCAAAGCUUACCCCAAUUCCUUUAUCAGGAUUACUGGAUUCGACAAUGUUCGUCAAGUGCAGUGCAUUAGUUUCAUUGCCUACAAGCCUACUGGUUACUAGAGCUGGCAAAAUUUGACACGACCCGAUUACCCGACACGAACACGACAUAAAUAAAUGGGUAUGGGUCGUCAAAUUUAACACGAUUAUUAAAUGGGUCGGGUCCGGGUCAACACAAUUUUUUUCCGUGUCGGGUUAGGGUUAAAAUUCUUGACCCAUUUACCCGAUCAAUGACCCGAUUAUAUUUUCUAUUUUAAAAUAAUUUACAUAUUCUUAUCAUUAAAACUCAAAUAUUAGAGAUGAUUUUCUUUUUUUUAUUCUUUAAAAUGGUGAAUAUAAACACAAUGUUUUAUUUAUAAAAUUUUAAAUACAUUUAGAGCUUCAAUAGUGUAAAUGUGUAAAAAUUGAUAGACGUGUAUAUUUUAUAAUAUUAUAUAUAUAUAUAUAGUAUGUAAAAUUUGAUGUAACUUUUGUUCAAUAUAUAGAUAUUAAACGGGUUAUUGGGUAACCCGAUUAUUUUUCUGUGUCGGGUUUGGGUCUCAAUAUUUUGACACGAUUAUUAAAUAGGUUGGGUUUGGGUCGACUUAAAUUUGACACGACACAAAGCUGACACGACACGAACACGACCCGAUGACCCGUUUUGCCAGCUCUACUGGUUAUUGAGCUUUGAUCAAUUAAUUUUGAAGGCUUCAUUGAUCAUCGAUCAUUGCAAUUUUUUGACGUGAUUUGUUUGAUCAGUUUGUUGUUUAGUACUAUUUUACGAAGUUUUUGGUUUUUUUCUUUUUUUCUUUUUUUUUUUGGGAUCUCCAAUUUGGAUGGAAAUGGAGAGUAUGAGUAUAAUAUAUUAAUGAUGAUUUGGUCUAUCAAGUUAACUUUAAGAUGCAUUGGUGUUAGUUUACUUUUAUAAAAAAAAAAUCAAUUUGACAUUGUUGUGUAGUUGUUUAUUUAAGGACUUAAUUUAACAUGACAUUAGUAAAUAAAUAUAGUUAAUUGUGUCUACCAAGAAAUAUAAUAUGACUUCAGUAAAAAUCAUCACAUGUCAAGCUAUUAUUUAUUUCAUCAUUUCACUAGUACUAGAUAAUGAUUUAUAUAAUACGAGAGUUGCAUGUAUGUCACAAUAGAUAAUGUUUAAUGAUAGGAAUCAUGUUAAAAAAACAUUCAAAUUGUACUUUUUAUUCAUGGAUUUACUGAAGAUAAGGAACCGAAGUGUUAUUAUCGAUUUUUUCUUUUUUUUUCUUUUUUAUAAUAAGAAUUGAAUAUAUUACUUUGAGACAAAGGCAAAAAGGUAUUAUCAUUGGCGAUUUUGUGCCAACAUCAGGUUUUGCAGUGACUUCUUCUCUUCAACAGAACAAAAUGAAAAAGCAUAAAGAGUAAACAAUUAAUGUGCUUUGAGUUUUGACUAGAGCUCCGUAAUGGUACAUUUAGGCCAACGAUCUUCAACUGUAUUAAAUUUUAAUAUAUCCAGUUGAUUGUACAUUUUAGUGGGAUUUAAUAGAAUUGAAUUUUGACUGAAUUGUACAUAAUUUUUUUAUUUUUUAUUUAAAUAAAUGACUACGGAUUGCUUAUCAACCAUAAAUAUGUUUAUCAACCUUAGGGUCUUUAAUAUCUAUCUCCAAUGUUAUAAAAAUAAAAAAAUUACGUGACAGACUCACUGUAGAAUAAAUAGAGUACUAAACUCUAAUUAUUCAAAGAAGAAAUCUAAAGAAUAAAACACUUAUGAAACACUCUUUAAAUAAUUAUCAAACUAAGACACAAAAGGCUAAUUGCCUUAUUUAUUUUUAUUUCUUCGGAUGAUUAAUACAAACACAAGCAGGGGGUAUUUAUAGCUUUACAAAUGCAUUUCAGGCCACGCAUUAAAAAAAAAUACCAUUGUCUUACACAUGGCUUUCCAUUGUCUUCCACUUAUAUUAAAAAAGCUAUAUUAUUUUCACACCAUGAUUUCCACUCUCAUUAAACAAAUUCUAUGCUUCACAAGUUAGCACCACAAUCUAACUUAGAAGCUUCUCAAGGGCUGGGCUUGAAUUUGUGAAGCCGAGAGUUAGUUACAUUCUGUUACUGGUGAGGUGGCAGUGAGUCAGCUUAUGUGGGCCAGCUGGUGGUUAAUUAGUUAUGACCAAAGAGCUGUAUAAAUAAGCAGAGCCAGGGCUGAUCAUUGCAGAUCUUUUUUCGGCUAAAUUGAGUGACCAAGACUGAGAGUAAAGAUUCUUAGUUGAGUGAGAUUUGUUCUCUGACAUUUGUAGUCACAUUGUAAUCAACCUUUAGCAAUAAAGUUUCACACCCUUUGGGGUUUCUUCAGCCGUGGAUGUAGGUACUCUGGUACCGAACCACGUUAAUUCCUUCUCUUUGUUUUCUAUUUGUUUAUAGUUUAUACACUGAUCUUUGUUGGUCUUUGUGAAUCUUGGCUGUUAGUUAGAGGGCCGAUAUCUUCCUUUUCUUAACAAAUUGGUAUCAGAGCUACAAAGCUCUCUGUUCUUGAUCUUCAAAGAUGGGAACCACCAAAUUUGACCUUGAGAAAUUCAAUGGAGAGAAUGACUUCUACCUAUGGAGUCUUAAGAUGAGGGCCAUCUUGAUUCAACAGGUCUUAGACAGUGCCCUUGAUGGUGAGGAAGAAAAGUCCAAGAAAGAGAGAGAGGAAGGUUCUUCAAGUUCAGGUGGAGACUUGAGGACCAUGAACAAUAAAGCCCACAGUACGAUCAUCCUUCACCUGUCUGAUGAGGUACUGAGAGAAGUAGCAAAAGAGAAGUCAGCAUCUGGGUUAUGGGCAAAAUUAGAAGAGCUUUUCUUGAAGAAAUCUAUGGCUAAGAGGUUGUACAUGAAAAUGAAGCUUUACACAUUUUCAAUGAAAGAAGGAACAUCUAUGAGAGACCAUGUUGAUGAGUUCAACAAGCUCAUACUCGAUCUUGAAAAUGUUAAUGUAAUGCUUGAAGAUGAAGAUAGGGCUCUCAUCUUACUAAGCUCCUUACCAGAUUCUUAUGAACACUUCGUGGACACUCUGCUCUAUGGUAGGCAAACCCUCACCCUAAAAGAUGUCAAGAAUGCUCUUGAAUCUAAAGACUUGAAGAAAAGAGCAGAUGGCAAAGAUCAAAUCACUAGAGAUGGAUUAGUUGCCAAAGCAAAGACAGAAAAGAAGAUAUACAAAGACAAGAAGAACAAAAAUCAGAAAGAGAAGACUGAUAAGAUGAAGAAGAAAAGAAAAUGUUACUUCUGUCAGAAGGAAGGACAUUAUAUAAAAGACUGCUUUGAAAAGAAGAAGCUUGAAAAGUUACAGAAAGAAUCAAGUGGGAAGGCUGACAUUGCAUCUGUAGAUGAAGGAGAGUCAGAAGAUGCAGAUGUCCUUAUUGCAGCAGAUAAGAAAUCUUCUGGUGAGUGGAUACUUGACUCAGGAUGUUCCUUCCAUAUGUGUCCACAUAAAGAUUUCUUUGUGACUUUCGAGAGUAUUGAUGGUGGAAAAGUUUUGCUUGGAAAUAAUCUAGCCUGUAAAGUUGCUGGAAUAGGGUCUGUUAGGAUUAAAAUGUAUGAUGGUUCAGUAAAAGGCUUGGAACAAGUGAGAUAUGUUCCAGAGCUUAAAAGAAACCUCAUAUCAUUAGGGAUGAUAGACAAAUUAGGCUGCUGCAUAAAGGCAGAAAAUGGUGAACUUCAGAUCCUUAAAGAUGGUGCAAUCAUAAUGAAAGGUUGUAGAAGAAAUGGAUUAUAUGUGCUUAAAGGCUCAGUUGAGUUACCUGGUAUUAUUGCAAAUGUAAACAGUGAUAAAACCAGGCUCUGGCACAUGAGAUUAGCACACAUGAGUGAGAAAGGUUUAAAGGAGUUAAGUAAACAAGGUCUACUAGGAACUGAUCAAAUUUCUGCACUUGAAUUCUGUGAAAAGUGUGUAUUUGGUAAAGCAACUAGGCAGAAGUUUAAUCCAGGAAAACAAGAGACAAAAAACACACUGGAUUAUAUUCACUCAGACCUAUGGGGGCCCUCUCAAGUGCCCUCUCAUGGAGGAGCUAGAUAUUUCAUCACUUUCAUUGAUGACUUUUCAAGGAAAGUCUGGGUAUAUGUACUGAAGCAUAAGAAAGAGAGAGAGGAAGGUUCUUCAAGUUCAGGUGAAGACUUGAGGACCAUAAACAAUAAAGCCCACAGUACGAUCAUCCUUCACCUGUCUGAUGAGGUACUGAGAGAAGUAGCAAAAGAGAAGUCAGCAUCUGGGUUAUGGGCAAAAUUAGAAGAGCUUUUCUUGAAGAAAUCUCUGGCUAAGAGGUUGUACAUGAAAAUGAAGCUUUACACAUUUUCAAUGAAAGAAGGAACAUCUAUGAGAGACCAUGUUGAUGAGUUCAACAAGCUCAUACUCGAUCUUGAAAAUGUUAAUGUAAUGCUUGAAGAUGAAGAUAGGGCUCUCAUCUUACUAAGCUCCUUACCAGAUUCUUAUGAACACUUCGUGGACACUCUGCUCUAUGGUAGGCAAACCCUCACCCUAAAAGAUGUCAAGAAUGCUCUUGAAUCUAAAGACUUGAAGAAAAGAGCAGAUGGCAAAGAUCAGAUCACUGGAGAUGGAUUAGUUGCCAAAGCAAAGACAGAAAAGAAGAUAUACAAAGACAAGAAGAACAAAAAUCAGAAAGAGAAGACUGAUAAGAUGAAGAAGAAAAGAAAAUGUUACUUCUGUCAGAAGGAAGGACAUUAUAUAAAAGACUGCUUUGAAAAGAAGAAGCUUGAAAAGUUACAGAAAGAAUCAAGUGGGAAGGCUGACAUUGCAUCUGUAGAUGAAGGAGAGUCAGAAGAUGCAGAUGUCCUUAUUGCAGCAGAUAAGAAAUCUUCUGGUGAGUGGAUACUUGACUCAGGAUGUUCCUUCCAUAUGUGUCCACAUAAAGAUUUCUUUGUGACUUUNNNNNNNNNNNNNNNNNNNNNNNNNNNNNNNNNNNNNNNNNNNNNNNNNNNNNNNNNNNNNNNNNNNNNNNNNNNNNNNNNNNNNNNNNNNNNNNNNNNNNNNNNNNNNNNNNNNNNNNNNNNNNNNNNNNNNNNNNNNNNNNNNNNNNNNNNNNNNNNNNNNNNNNNNNNNNNNNNNNNNNNNNNNNNNNNNNNNNNNNNNNNNNNNNNNNNNNNNNNNNNNNNNNNNNNNNNNNNNNNNNNNNNNNNNNNNNNNNNNNNNNNNNNNNNNNNNNNNNNNNNNNNNNNNNNNNNNNNNNNNNNNNNNNNNNNNNNNNNNNNNNNNNNNNNNNNNNNNNNNNNNNNNNNNNNNNNNNNNNNNNNNNNNNNNNNNNNNNNNNNNNNNNNNNNNNNNNNNNNNNNNNNNNNNNNNNNNNNNNNNNNNNNNNNNNNNNNNNNNNNNNNNNNNNNNNNNNNNNNNNNNNNNNNNNNNNNNNNNNNNNNNNNNNNNNNNNNNNNNNNNNNNNNNNNNNNNNNNNNNNNNNNNNNNNNNNNNNNNNNNNNNNNNNNNNNNNNNNNNNNNNNNNNNNNNNNNNNNNNNNNNNNNNNNNNNNNNNNNNNNNNNNNNNNNNNNNNNNNNNNNNNNNNNNNNNNNNNNNNNNNNNNNNNNNNNNNNNNNNNNNNNNNNNNNNNNNNNNNNNNNNNNNNNNNNNNNNNNNNNNNNNNNNNNNNNNNNNNNNNNNNNNNNNNNNNNNNNNNNNNNNNNNNNNNNNNNNNNNNNNNNNNNNNNNNNNNNNNNNNNNNNNNNNNNNNNNNNNNNNNNNNNNNNNNNNNNNNNNNNNNNNNNNNNNNNNNNNNNNNNNNNNNNNNNNNNNNNNNNNNNNNNNNNNNNNNNNNNNNNNNNNNNNNNNNNNNNNNNNNNNNNNNNNNNNNNNNNNNNNNNNNNNNNUGCAGCCUACUUAGUCAACAGGAGCCCUUCAGUUGCUUUGCAUUUCAAGACCCCUUAAGAAGUUUGGUCAGGAAAGCCUCCAGAUCUCAGCAACCUCAGGGCAUUUGGUUGUCUUGCUUAUGCUCACAUAAACCAGGGAAAAUUAGAGCCAAAAGCUGUCAAGGGUUACUUCAUAGGCUAUCCAGAGGGUGUCAAAGGGUAUAAGAUCUGGUGCAUAGAUGGAAAACCUUCAAGAACAUUGAUCAGCCGAGAUGUUGUGUUUGAUGAAGAGCCUAUGCUGCAUCAGAAGGUAGAAACAGAGCUCACUACACCUGAUACAAAUGAGGUUAAGGAACACAACUUUAAGGUGGAGUCAAGUGAAGAAAAGAAAACUAUAGAAAGGGUUUCCAAGCCUUGUCAGAAAAUACACAUCACUUCUCAAAUGAAUGAAUAUCAGCUAACAAGAGACAGGGAAAAGAGAGUCAUUAAACCACCCAAAAGAUAUGGCAUAGCUGAUAUGAUUUCUUAUGCCCUGGCAGUAGCUGAAGAAGUCAUUGGUGAAGAGCCUGUUAGCUACAAACAAGCUAUGGGCAGUAAAAUUAGAGAGAAAUGGCUGGAUGCCAUGAAUGAAGAAAUUAUCUCCCUAAAGAAGAAUAGAACAUGGAUAUUGGUCAAGAAACCUCAAAACAAAAGGCUGGUAGGUUGCAAAUGGAUCUAUAAAAUUAAAGAAGGGACUGUGGAUGGUGAGCCUCCCAGGUAUAAGGCAAGGCUGGUAGCAAAGGGGUUCACCCAAAAGCAUGGAGUGGAUUUCAAUGAGGUAUUCUCCCAUGUAGUAAAAUACAGUUCCAUAAGAAUUCUACUGGCAAUAGCAGCUUACAAUGACCUGGAAUUGGAUCAAAUGGAUGUGAAGACAACCUUCUUACAUGGGAAUCUUGAAGAAGAAAUUCUCAUGGAUCAGCCUGAGGGAUUUAUUGAAGAAGGGACUGAAGAUAUGGUAUGCUUGUUGAAAAGGAGUUUGUAUGGGCUGAAACAGUCUCCAAGAAAAUGGUAUCUGAGGUUUGAUGAGUUCAUGAUCAGCCAUGGAUAUUGUAGAAGUCAAUAUGAUAGCUGUGUGUAUUUUAAAAUCUUAUCCUCUGAAAAUAGAAUUUACCUUCUUCUUUAUGUUGAUGACAUGCUUAUUGCAUGCAAAAAAAGAGAGGAGAUUGAAAGGCUUAAAAUGGAGUUAAAUACUGCUUUUGAAAUGAAAGAUCUGGGGACUGCUACAAGAAUUCUGGGAAUGCAAAUAGUGAGGAACAGAAGUAAAGGCACCUUGUUUCUAACUCAAGCUAUGUAUGCUAAAAGGGUUCUUAGCAGGUUUGAGAUGAGUGGUGCUAAGCCUGUGACAGUACCUAUGUCAGCACAUUUCAGAUUGUCAAAACUUCAGGAACCAGAAGAGGAUCAUGACCUUGUGCAUAUGAAGUCAGUGCCUUACUCAAGUGCUGUUGGCAGCAUAAUGUAUUCUAUGGUUUGUACAAGACCUGAUGUAGCUCAUAGUGUAGGUGUUGUUAGCAGGUUUAUGGGGAACCCAGGGANNNNNNNNNNNNNNNNNNNNNNNNNNNNNNNNNNNNNNNNNNNNNNNNNNNNNNNNNNNNNNNNNNNNNNNNNNNNNNNNNNNNNNNNNNNNNNNNNNNNNNNNNNNNNNNNNNNNNNNNNNNNNNNNNNNNNNNNNNNUGCAGCCUACUUAGUCAACAGGAGCCCUUCAGUUGCUUUGCAUUUCAAGACCCCUUAAGAAGUUUGGUCAGGAAAGCCUCCAGAUCUCAGCAACCUCAGGGCAUUUGGUUGUCUUGCUUAUGCUCACAUAAACCAGGGAAAAUUAGAGCCAAAAGCUGUCAAGGGUUACUUCAUAGGCUAUCCAGAGGGUGUCAAAGGGUAUAAGAUCUGGUGCAUAGAUGGAAAACCUUCAAGAACAUUGAUCAGCCGAGAUGUUGUGUUUGAUGAAGAGCCUAUGCUGCAUCAGAAGGUAGAAACAGAGCUCACUACACCUGAUACAAAUGAGGUUAAGGAACACAACUUUAAGGUGGAGUCAAGUGAAGAAAAGAAAACUAUAGAAAGGGUUUCCAAGCCUUGUCAGAAAAUACACAUCACUUCUCAAAUGAAUGAAUAUCAGCUAACAAGAGACAGGGAAAAGAGAAUCAUUAAACCACCCAAAAGAUAUGGCAUAGCUGAUAUGAUUUCUUAUGCCCUGGCAGUAGCUGAAGAAGUCAUUGGUGAAGAGCCUGUUAGCUACAAACAAGCUAUGGGCAGUAAAAUUAGAGAGAAAUGGCUGGAUGCCAUGAAUGAAGAAAUUAUCUCCCUAAAGAAGAAUAGAACAUGGAUAUUGGUCAAGAAACCUCAAAACAAAAGGCUGGUAGGUUGCAAAUGGAUCUAUAAAAUUAAAAAAGGGACUAUGGAUGGUGAGCCUCCCAGGUAUAAGGCAAGGCUGGUAGCAAAGGGGUUCACCCAAAAGCAUGGAGUGGAUUUCAAUGAGGUAUUCUCCCAUGUAGUAAAAUACAGUUCCAUAAGAAUUCUACUGGCAAUAGCAGCUUACAAUGACCUGGAAUUGGAUCAAAUGGAUGUGAAGACAACCUUCUUACAUGGGAAUCUUGAAGAAGAAAUUCUCAUGGAUCAGCCUGAGGGAUUUAUUGAAGAAGGGACUGAAGAUAUGGUAUGCUUGUUGAAAAGGAGUUUGUAUGGGCUGAAACAGUCUCCAAGAAAAUGGUAUCUGAGGUUUGAUGAGUUCAUGAUCAGCCAUGGAUAUUGUAGAAGUCAAUAUGAUAGCUGUGUGUAUUUUAAAAUCUUAUCCUCUGAAAAUAGAAUUUACCUUCUUCUUUAUGUUGAUGACAUGCUUAUUGCAUGCAAAAAAAGAGAGGAGAUUGAAAGGCUUAAAAUGGAGUUGAAUACUGCUUUUGAAAUGAAAGAUCUGGGGACUGCUACAAGAAUUAUGGGAAUGCAAAUAGUGAGGAACAGAAGUAAAGGCACCUUGUUUUUAACUCAAGCUAUGUAUGUUAAAAGGGUUCUUAGCAGGUUUGAGAUGAGUGGUGCUAAGCCUGUGACAGUACCUAUGUCAGCACAUUUCAGAUUGUCAAAGCUUCAGGAACCAGAAGAGGAUCAUGACCUUGAGCAUAUGAAGUCAGUGCCUUACUCAAGUGCUGUUGGCAGCGUAAUGUAUUCUAUGGUUUGUACAAGACCUGAUGUAGCUCAUAGUGUAGGUGUUGUUAGCAGGUUUAUGGGGAACCCAGGGAGGGAACACUGGAGUGCUGUCAAAUGGUUGUUGAGGUAUAUGAAAGGUACUGCAAAUCAUGGAAUUUUGUAUGGUGGUUCUGAAAGUAACUCAUGUCAGGUAUCAGGGUUUGUAGACUCAGAUUUUGCUGCUGAUCUGGACAAGAGAAGGUCCAUUACUGGAUAUGUUUUCAUUUUGAAUGGAGGAGCAGUGAGCUGGAAGGCAUCUCUUCAGUCAGUGGUUGCUUUAUCCACAACUGAAGCUGAGUACAUUGCAUUGACAGAAGCAGUGAAAGAAGCAAAGUGGCUAAGUGGGUUAGUUUCUGAGUUUGGGUUAAAGCAGGAGUCAGUUUGUAUUGGUUGUGACAGCUCUAGUGCAAUUCAGCUUAGUAAGAAAUAAAAAGUAUUUAUUUAAUUUAAAAAAACUUCUGCUGUACCGUACAUCCGCCUUGGCCGUACAGCAGCUGUGACAGCUCUAGUGCAAUUCAGCUUAGUAAGAAUCCUAAAUAUCAUGAAAGAACAAAACAUAUUGAUGUUAGGUUACACUUUGUCAGGGAUGAAAUUGCAAAUGGUAUUGUGAAUGUUAUUAAGGUUUCUACUCAGACUAAUCCUGCACAUAUUCUAACCAAAGCAGUACCUGCAAUCAAGUUUAGAAACUCUCUGAACUUGGUUGGUGUUGGUAGCUUGUAAAACCAGACUUGUGGUUGCUGAAGAAGAAGGUGGAGUUGUUUCAGAAUGAACUAAGGUGGAGAUUUGUGAAGCCGAGAGUUAGUUACAUUCUGUUACUGGUGAGGUGGCAGUGAGUCAGCUUAUGUGGGCCAGCUGGUGGUUAAUUAGUUAUGACCAAAGAGCUGUAUAAGUAAGCAGAGCCAGGGCUGAUCAUUGCAGAUCUUUUUCGGCUAAAUUGAGUGACCAAGACUGAGAGUAAAGAUUCUUAGUUGAGUGAGAUUUGUUCUCUGACAUUUGUAGUCACAUUGUAAUCAACCUUUAGCAAUAAAGUUUCACACCCUUUGGGGUUUCUUCAGCCGUGGAUGUAGGUACUCUGGUACCGAACCACGUUAAUUCCUUCUCUUUGUUUUCUAUUUGUUUAUAGUUUAUACACUGAUCUUUGUUGGUCUUUGUGAAUCUUGGCUGUUAGUUAAAGGGCCGAUAUCUUCCUUUUCUUAACAGAAUUCAUGAUAAUGGGCUGGUGUUGUGUUAUUUCAACACUCCCCCUCAACACCAGCUCCCGCUCUUUGGACUAUCCCGAGUUGGCAACGAAACAUUUCGAACUUACCAGUGCUUAAACCUUUUGUGAACAAGUCAGCGAUUUGAUCAUCUGUCUUGACUUGCCUCGUAUCAAUCUCUCCUUGCAGAACCUUUUCUCUAAUAAAAUGAUAGUGCACUUUAACAUGCUUAGUUCUUGCAUAAAAGACCAGAUUCUCCACCAAACGAAUUGCCAAUUGAUUGUCACAAUAUAACGGAAUCACAUAAUCUACUAGUUGAUAUAGAUCAUUCAUCAGUUGUAUCAGCCAUGUACUCUCUUGAGCUUCCAUUACUGCUGCUCGGUACUCAGCUUUAGUGGUUGACAAUGAUAUCGUCGGUUGUCUUUUGCUACACCAAGAAAUUGUUCUAAAAUCAAGCUUAAACACAUACCUAGUUGUUGAUCUCCUGGUGUCAUGAUCUCCUGCAUAGUCAGCAUCACAAUAGCCAACUAGUAUGCAAUCUUCACCUUUCUUGUACAAAAGACCGUAGUUCAUUGUACCAUUGACAUAUCUCAAUAUUUGCCGAACUGCUUCCAAAUGUGUCUUCUUUGGAUUUUGCAUGUACCGACUCAUUACUCCAACUGCAUAAGAAAUGUCAGGUCGAGUCAAGGUCAAGUAGAUAAGACUAUCUACCAAUUGUCGAUAUAUCGUUGCAUCUUCCAAGUCUUUUCCUUCAUGCGCACAUUUUGUCAUUUGGUUCCAUCGGUGUUGAGAUCGGCUUGCACUCGAGCAUCCCAAACUUCUUCAACAAAUCUCUCGAAUAUUAUUGCUGACAGAGAAAUAUUCCUUCUUGUGUGCGAUCAACCUUUAGACCAAGGAAGUGCUUAAGUUGUCCAAGUUCUUUCAUCUGGAAGCGAACUAACAAAUUCUCUUUUGUUCGAUGAAUUUCUACCUCAUCAUCACUGGUUAUGAUUAAAUCAUCCACGUACACUAGUACAAUAGCUAGCUUUCUUCCAUUAGCUUUAAAAAACAGGCUAGAAUCUGCAGGUGUUACUGAAUAACUACUUUCAGUUAGGAAUUCAGCAAUCUUACUAUACCACGCCUUGGGUGCUUGUUUCAAUCCAUAGAGUGCUUUCCGCAGCUUGCAUAUGUACUCGGGAUGAUUUUGAUUCUGAAAACUCAUUGGCUGAAUCAUGUAGAUCUCUCGAUCUAGCUCUCUAUGGAGAAAAGCAUUAUUCACAUCCAUCUGCCAUAAGUUCCAGUCUUUAUUGGCUGCUAGCGCAAGUAGAACUCGUACAGUUGUAAGUUUUGCCACCGGACUAAAUGUUUCAUCAUAGUCUAGUCCAUACUGCUGAGAAAAGCCACGGGCUACCAAAUGAGCUUUAUACCUAUCGAUUGACCCAUCUGGACGGCGUUUUAUCUUGUAAACCCACUUGCAGGAUAUGGGUUUUACAUCUCUUGGCUUUGGCACCAGAUCCCAAGUCUGAUUUUGUUCAAGUGCAGUGAUCUCUUCUUUCAUAGUUGUCAUCCACUCAGAAUUAUGUGAUACUGAUUCGAACGUGUCAGGUUCUAGUAUAGUUGCUUCUUCUUCAACUAUCAUCAACAUCACCAUUAGCUUCAUCAAGACUGGACUGGAUUUGGACAGUGUGCUCCCCCAGCUUUUCUUGCAGCUUGUCUUCAAAUUCUUUAGAGUCUGGCAACACUUGCUUUUCUAAGGACCACCAUAAAGAUGCUUCAUCGAACACCACAUCUCGUGAAGUGUAGCACCUUCCACUUGUUGGAUCGCAACAUUUCCAUCCAUUUCUUUGUUAUCGUAUCCCACAAAGAUAUAUAUGACUACUUUCUUAUCAAACUUGCUACGUAAAUGAUUAGGAACAAAUACAUAGCACACACAGCCAAAUACUCGAAAGUAACUAACCGUAGGUUUCAUGUUCCAUAAUUUCUCAAAAAGUGAAACAAAUGCUAACCUCGAUUGAGAAAAUCUGUUGACCACAAAGGCAGCAGCCCUCAUUGCUUCAGCCUAAAAUCUCCCAAGUACAUUAUUUGCAUGUAGCAUACUUCCAACAAACUUCUGCAAGAUGCCGAUUCUUCAACAAACUUCUACAAGAUGCCGAUUCUUUCUCUCAACUACACCAUUUUGUUGUGGUGUAUUGACACAAGUGUAUUGAUGACAUAUUUGGCAUUUCUUGAGGUAUUCAGAGAACUCACUUGAACUAUAUUCUCAUCCAUUGUCCAAGCGCAAACAUCGAAACUUCUUUCCCACUUUUCUUUCAACUGAUUCUCUGAACACUUUAAACUUUGAGAACGUGUCAGAUUUUUCUUUCAUAAAGAAAACCCACACAUACCUGGAGAAGUCAUCAAUGAAUGUCACCAUGUACCGCAUACCGCUAAUUGAUGGUUGCUUAACUGGCCCGAAUACAUCAGAGUGAACUAACUCUAAUGGUUCUUUUGCUCUAAACGUCGAUCCAUCAUAUGGCAAUUGGUGUGCUUUACCAUAUUGGCACCCCGCACAGAUCGUGUCUGUUCGCACAUCAAGUUGAGGAAGCCCCUUUAAGCAUCGACUUCUUCGCCAUCACAUUUAGCUUGGAGUAGCUAACAUGACCUAACCGCAUGUGCCAUAGAUCUGUUGUCUCAUUUUUCUUUGUCUUUUCUACAUAUGCAGACUCUGCUGACAUCACGUAGACUGACUUCAAUUGUCGCCCCUCCAUUGUUGGAUUUUUAGAGAUUUUGAGAUCAUGAUACACCUUCACAUCUCGGGGACCGAACAAGACAUAAUGGCCUAAUGAUGUUAGUUGAGCCACAGAUAACAAAUUUUUCUUCAUUCUUGGGACAUGAUAAAUAUCUUAAAAUGGCACAUGGUUAGAAUUAUAUCGAGGUAUGAGUAUUGCCUUACCGAUGUGUACUAUUGGUAGCCUUGAGUAGUCAGUUGUCACCACAACACAACCUCCUUUGUACUCAGUCAAGUUUUGCAACUUCUGUUUAUCACCCGUCAUAUGAUUUGAGCAACCCGAAUCUACAAUCCAAUCAUUCUCAUAGUUAAUUUGUUCUGAUGUUGUUACCAUGAGAGCUAAUUCUUCUUCCUCUAUAGCGAAUACUACUUCGGCAUCCCAACCAUCUUUGGUAUUCUCCUUAGGAUUGGAAGUAGCAACAUUACUCUCAGCAGGCUUUUUCUUGGACCAACAAUCUUUCGCCAUAUGGCCUAUCUUCCCGCAGUUGUAACACUUACCAUCAAACUUUCUCGUAUUACCAUGAUUCUUUGAAGCUCCCCAUGGAUGAGAGCCUCCAUUUCCAUGGUGAUUUGUUACCUUGUCACCAUCCUUUUUGGAUCCCUUACCAGUAUGCUGCUUAGAAGUGCCCUUGCUUUUGUUGGUAUAGAGUGCUUCCUCUUCACCCUUUAGUGAGACUCCUACUAUUCGCUUGGCUAUAGCUUCUUGACCAGGCAAGUAAAAUUUCAAAAUCAACAAGUGAUGGUUGUGUCGGCCAUCUCUGUACAUCGGCAACAAACCCUCGGUAUUCGAGUCUCAAACCAUGGACAAUUAUUCUUUUUUUCUCGCAUCCCCAAAAGUAACUGUUGGAUCUAACUUUGAAAUUUCGUGGCAUAUCGACUUUACUUUUAUUAAAGUACUGAGCAAUCGUCAUGUCACGUUGUGCUAUUGAUCGCAGCUCGUUCUCGAGAAGUUGCAACCUUGUAUCAUUCUUCUUUGAAAAUAGUGUAACAAAAGUGUCCCAUGCUUCCUUCAGUGUUUUGGCAUCCUGAAUGUGCUCCAUCAUUUCUUCUUCAAUUAUGGCCUUUAAAGAAAACAUUGCUUUGCCUGCUUUAAUCUUCCACUUCCGCAAAAUGCCAUUGGCAUCUUCCAUUAUUGGUUGUGUAGCUUUACUACCACCAACAACCUCCCAAAAGUCUUGACCUUGUAGGUAGGACUCUAUACACGUUGACCAUGUGUUGUAGUUUUGGUUGUUGAGUUUCUUGAUACCUCCAACUACUUGAAUAUCACCCAUCGUGUCAACAAGAUUUUGACUAUACUGCUAACGACUCAAGAUAGGUCCACCAAGAACGAUCUGAGACCGUCCCGUUCUGAUACCAAUUGUAGAAUAAAUAGAGUACUAAACUCUAAUUAUUCAAAGAAGAAAUCUAAAGAAUAAAACACUGAUGAAACACUCUUUAAAUAAUUAUCAAACUAAGACACAAAAGGCUAAUUGCUUUAUUUGUUUUUAUUUCUUUGGAUGAUUAAUACAAACACAAGCAGGGGGUAUUUAUAGCUUUACAAAUGCAUUUCAGACCACACAUUAAAAAAAGGGAAAAUAUCCACCGUCCACCUAUUUUUUACACCUUUUUCAAAAAUACACAAUUCCUUCAUUUUUUGGCUGGAAUCCACCUAAAGUUACAUUUUUUUUCUACUGUUAUAAUUUAGCAUUCUAAUUACCGACAUAUUUUAAAAAAAAACAUGUAUUUGAUGGUUGUGGAAUUAAUUUCUUUACUGACCGAUGGAAAAAUUAUUAGAUUUAAUCUGAUUAUUUUUUAUAAUUUUUAAGGUGAAAUUGUAAUUUUCGUUUUGGGGGUAAAAUGGUCAUUUUUUUAAAUUUCCGUUAGUUUUCUUAACGGAUUCCAAACGGAAGUGGAAAAGUGAAAAAAAAUGAAACUUUAGGUGGAUUCCAGCCAAAAAAUGAAGGAAUUGUGAAUUUUUGAAAAAUGUGUAAAAAACAGGUGGACGGUGGAUAUUUUCCCUUAAAAAAAAUACCAUUGUCUUACACAUAGCUUUCCAUUAUCUUCCGCUUGUAUUAAAAAAUCUAUAUUAUUUUCACACCAUGAUUUCCACUCUCAUUAAACAAAUUCUAUGCUUCACACGUUAGCACCACAAUCUAACUUGGAAGCUUCUCAAGGGCUGGGCUUGAAUUCAUGAUAACGGCCUGGUGUUGUGUUAUUUCAACACUCACGUAACCAUGUCCUUUACUAAAAUGAUUAAUUACAAAGAUAUCAACUUACUAUCUUAACCGAUCUAAUUUAUGUGUCAUUGUUUAAUUAAUAUCGUCUAAUUAUCAUAUUAAUAAUAAUAUACUCUCUAAUAACAAAUUUAUCAAUAAGUGGACAAUUACGUAUAAAACACUCAAGUUAAGAAUCUCUUUGAUGAAAAUCACAAUAUACGGUGGAGGGAUGCUAGAGACUAUGGUCACUUUUACGGUUGUUGGAAGCAAUAAUGGAUUACGGGCUUCAUAAUUCUGUUUGUCAGUUUUCGGGCAAAGCAAAUUGACGACAGGUCGUCUACCCUGUUGAAACUCAAAUAAUGGCUUACCAAUUUCAAAAAGCAAAAAUCAGUGCCAUGUUUUUGUUAACAUAUGCAUGGAGAAAAAUGUGGCGAUUUUCUAGAUGCUGGUUGAAUUUGAGAAAAUUGUUGAUUUUGGUUGCCAUUUUUCAAAGACUUUUGGGCACAAGGAUUAAAAGCAUGCAUGAUCUUUGGCUAUAAAUACUAAGCCAUUUGAUCAUUUGAACGUGUCCACACUUUAAGAGCAAUUACAAGUGAAGUAAUUUGAGAGAUUUGAGAGAACUUCUACUUGAGUAUUCUAUUGAGAAUCCAAUUGAGUGCAUUGGGAUUUUGGGUUUUAAGAUUUUUUUUUAAUUUUGUAAAUUCCUAUUUAUUAGUGAAAUUACCUUACAGUUUUUGCCCAUGAACGUAGGCUUUACACUAAACCACGUAAAUUAUUGUGUUUAAAUUUUUCUUUGUAUUUUUUUAUCAACACAUUUAUAUUUAUCCAGAAGUCGCGGUCACUAUAAUAUUGAUAAUUGUUCAACCCGCAUUUCCACAACAUAUACAUCAAAUAUUGAAAUGUCAUGUCAUUUAAUAAUAAGUUGAUAAAUAACUUGUCAUCUAAUGGAUGCGAUACUAUCAACAUGUCGUCCUAAUUUUAAAUAUACGAAUGUUCCAUCGGUUAUAAGUAAAACAUAAACGAUAUGUUAUCAUAUAUAGAUGUGCAAACACAUACUAUUUAUGCUUGUCGGUUACUAUAGGUGCCAUAUUCCAAAAGGCACCUAACCAUGCCAUAUAUCCAUCCUAUCAGAUAACAGAAGCUAUUCCGGAGAAAUAACACCCAAGUUAUUCUAGGGUAAAUAACACCCAAGCUAUUCCGGGGGAAUAACACCUAAGGAAAAAAUUCUCUCGGAACUUAUAAAAAUGGUAGGAGGGGGGAAUUAGUUCCACAAUCCAUUAGUCUAAGGAAAUCACGCCCAAAGGUCAUACGAGUAAGGAAACACACAAGGGCGAAAUAAUUCCUUAGAUCAAAUCCACCUCUACGUGUACAGAAAAGAUGGGUUACACGUGUCGUUAGAUUGAGAAUUCAAAGCAAAACCCUAAAUUCACAUAACUCAUCAUCUAUAAAUAGAGACCCAUCUCUAAUAAAAAAGGGGUCUUUGGCCUCCAAAAGUAAUUUUCAUACUUAGAGAGAGAAACUCAUCUUCUCCAUCUUUUUUCCUUUUUUCUUUCUUUGAUCUUGAUUAAACACUAAUUUAUGCGUCGGAGUGCCUUUUUCAGGUACUCACCCCUUCGAAUUCGAGGCCAACGAUCGUGACAAGUUCUCCAUAAACUACAAAUACGUGUGAAGGUAAAUUCCAACCUCCUUCAAUUACAAAAAUUAAAAUUUCCAACAUGUCAUCUUUAUGUUUUGUAUAUGGAUGUCCCGUCGUUUACUGAAAAAUCGAUAGACAAUGCAUCAUCCAAUUAUGUGUCAAGUCACGUAGUUUACGGUUGUCAGUUUUGAUAAAUUUAAGUAUAAUUUACAAUAAUUAAUUUAUUAUUAUAUAUUUAAGAUAUUAAAUUACAUCAAAGCUUAGAUUUUCUAAUUUUUGUUUAUAAUGAAUAUUGAAAGCACGGCCCCAAAGAGCAAAGUUGUACAAAUAAAAAUUAAGUAAUUUCCUUUCAAAUUUUCCUUAUAAAAUUAUAUAGCAAACUAAAUAUUAGAUUUAAAUUUCACUCUCCUAUUAUCUCCUCUCCUCUUUUUUAUUUUGAUUUGUCAUUACUAAGUAACAUUGCUAGUUAUCAUUACAAUUCUUAUUCCCUUAAUAUUGUAAAUAAUAUAGGAAAAGAUGACAACACAUAACAUAAUUUGGCCGUCACGAAAAUCCCCUAUAUUUUCAUUAAUGAUCAUGAAUUUUUUUCAUCACUCCAACAAAAAAUUCAUGUUGUUGUUAUUAUUAUUAAAUAACAAAUUAAUAAUAGUAUUAAGAAAAUUAAUUUAUACUAUUAAUUAAAAAAUUACCACAGAUAUCUCUUUUUGAACAAUUACAUCUAGAUGAAUCUGCUUGGUUCAGUCAAAGCACAUAGUUGUUCAAAUAGAGAUAUAUAGGAUGAUUUUUUAGUUCAUGUGAUAUGUAUGCGCUUCAAUUGGAUUGCCAAACCAACAACAGUUACUAGACUUUAGAAGCUAUCAACGUAUAAUUUAUCAAUAUGUGGAAAAUUACGCAUAAAAUACUCAAGUUAAAAAUCUGUUGGUUGAAAAUCACAAAUACAAGGCCAGGAAUGUUAGAGACUUACUAAUUAUUUGAAUCUCUUUAUUUCUUAUUAUCCAAGUCAUGUUAUUGAAGCCAACAAAAAAAUGUUACUUGAAAACCACUCAAUCAAGUCUUUAAGAUGAUUACCUCAAAAUAUUUGGAUAGAUGUUUUAUUGACAACAUUUUAGAUGAGUAACAUGACUUACCAUGGGAUGCAGCAAAAACACAUAUAAUAUAUUAAUAAUGUUAAGAUUGAAUCUAUCAAUUUAUUGAGUAUAAAUUGAUAAGAGAUUCAGAAAUAUUAAGAUUUGAAUGUAACCUGAACUUGAGACUAAUUCAGGUUUUGUUGACUUGACGCUACUUAAGACUACUCAUCGAGGAAAUUUCAUCCAACCAAUGAAUAUUAAAAAAUAAUGGAUAGAGAUUAAGAAAUUUCAUGAAAGAAACACUAGCAUUUAAACAAAUAGAAGAAAGAAACACACCAAUUAGAGAGAUUCAAUGUGCAGGAAAAGGGAAAACAAAAAACAAAAAUGAUGGCCAACAAUUUUACAAUGCUAAACACAGGACAAAUGGUCAUAUUCUUAAGUACCAACUGAACACAACGGACAGAAAGAAUUGAAAGCAUACAAAAGAAAAAAGAAACCAAUCAAAACAAGGCAUAUUUUCAGUCUUUUGGGGUGAAGAGUUAGUCGCAGCUGAAACUUUCUCUUGAAUCUGGGGCGUGAAAUAAACGGAUCCCACAUUUUUUCACCGGGUAAUCCAGAAAUUCAAAACCAUUAGCUUCCCUAAAAUUGAACCGGACAGCCACAGGAACGCAAUUGUAUUUCCGAAAAUCAUUAAAUUCCUCACCAUCAAAGAAAUAGUACCCAAAAAAUAAGUGAUCAGACACUACACAAUCACCUACCCCAAGUAACGUCAUCCGGCUCGUGCUGCAGUGCGGAUGAUAAUCUUUGGGUCUCACUAUGUAUUCACAGUACACGUAAAACUGUUUUUCUAUUUUUGAAGUGUAGAAAAAGUUAAACUUUCUGCUAAAAUUUACAAUAACGCCAAAAGCAAGCCCGAGUACACUUUUAUUAUUGAAGAAAUCUGGAGGCAUCUCCAAGGUUACACAAGAUCCGGCACUUUGAAAGCUAAACCACUUUGGAAUUUUAUUCCAAGGUAAAAAGCCGCGACCUCGAAGUGAUGGAUAGGAUAUCUAUAUAUACACACGAAUCAUAAUUUUAAAAAAAUAAAAAUAAAAAAUUAUUAACAACACUUAAUAGAAUAAAGAUCACUAAUAUUUAAACAGAAAAAUUUAAUCGGAAAAAGUUAGAAUUAACUGUAAAAUUAUGUGGCGUCAAAGAAAGAGGACAAAGUAAUCAAUUAACAUUAUAUCACCACACACCGCGUUAUUGUUCAUUCUGUCAUCUUUUUCUUUAGCUUCUUUUCUAAAUAAAAAGGAGAGAGUUAAUUAACGACAUACCUUUUCCCGUGCUUCUUUUAGACGUGCGGUUGCCAAAAGUUGAAUUUUCUGCAGAGCUCCCUUGACAAUUCCUCUAAUCUCAUUCCGAUCCAAUUUAAAAUUAUCGCUCAGGUAUAAAGUCCGUAAAUAAGAUUCAUCACUACUUGGGAAUAAAUCUGGUAAUGAUUCCAGUGCUGUGCAAUGAUGUGCAUCCAACGAAAGUAGAUUGCAUGGAAGCUUUGGUAAGGAUUGAAGCCUCUCGCAAUACCUUAUGAAGAGCCUUUCCAAAUUAGAAAGUUGUAUGAUGCUUUCUGGUAAUCUCUCAAAAUUGUUUCCCUCUAGAUGCAGUUUUGUUACUGAGGAUAACAGGCCAAGACUUUCAGGUAACCCCAUGAUGCCGCAAUCAUUUAGAUUUAAAUCCCUUAGAUUUUGCAAGCCAUCUACAGAGAAUGUGAUUGGCAAUGAUAAACCCUUGUUUCUCCCGAAAUAUAUUCCACGAACCGUUUUCAAACGGACGAUGGAUGGCGGUACUUCUGUUAUAGAAGUUCCUAUAGCGUGCAAAAUAUCCAAAGCUUCUAAAUUUCCAAGUUCCUCGGGCAAUCUCUGAAGAUUCGAGCAACCAUCGAUAAUGAGAACAUCUAGAGAUUUCAACUUACACAGGCCGCUUGGGAGACUCUUGAGACUUUUACAAUCUGCAAGGCCCAAGUGCGAAAGCUUAGAUAGACACUCGAUGGACGAAGGCAGUUCCUCCAGUGCAGUUCCAUCUAAAUGCAUCGUUGUUAUAUUACCAGGUGAGAUCUCUGGAAGCCUCUUCAGUUUUGAGCAGCCCGAAAGAUCAAGUUCUUUAAGCAAUUUCAAAUGAAUUCUUGCUGGAAGACUUUGCAAGUUUUUACAACCGCUUAGGUUCAAGAUAACUAGGUUGUUCAGAUGUUGAGUCAAUGAGGGGGUUGGAGUUUUUGAAAAAAAAUUGAAGGCAGCAGUGAUUAUCUGGUUUAACUUACCAUAAUCCUGCUCGGAUGAAAAGAGAAGAAACAAAAAAAAUGCCACCAACACAAAUCAUUAGCAUGUAUGAUAAUUAAAAAUUAUUACCGAAACUAUAUUGUAAUUAAGAUAUAUGUAUAUAUACCUGCACACUAUCAAAAAGUUGUUCAAUAUUGCUAUGAGGCAUUUCAAGUAAAACAAGUUUCUCUGGAUGAAUAUUUGAAGGCAAUAAUUUCAAUGGAUAUCCAUGCCAGUGCAGGUACCUCACUUCAGUAAAUCCAGGGCCUUGGAAAUAUGACAUCUUACAUUUGUUCUCUUCAUUCAUUGAGCUAUAAAAUUUCAAAAUCCUCAAGUUAGGCAUCUUUGUGAAAGUAUUGGGAUGCAGAUUGAUAUCUUUCACUUUAGACAUAUCCAACGAGAUGCCUUGGAUUGCUUCAGUCCCCUAAUUAUCAAUAAUAAUAAAAAAAAAUAAAGUUAUAUCUAAUUUAAGUUGAUAGUUACUAUAUGGCAAUCAAACUCGUAAUUGUAAAAGUAGAAAGAAGCAUAUUUAAUACAAGAAAAUCUAAACAUAUAAACUAUAUAUGUAUAUAUGUAUGUAUGUAUACAAAUUAUUAUAUACAAAUUGACAUAACAUAUUUGUAUGCAAAUUAUUACAUACAAGUUGAUAUAACAUAUUGCUACACACUUUCACAAUCAUCCAGGUCACCUUUUCGACAAGUGAAUCCAUUUUCUCUAUCUUAUAUUGAACUAUGGGGCUAAUUAUUUUAGCAAAUAUAAAAUAGAAAAAUUCAAGAAAAUGUUUAAUAUGUAAAAUCUGAUAUUAAUUUCAAUUUUCCCAGAAUAUAUUACUAUUAACAGGGUGAAAUGUACUUAUAACCCCAAUCGAACUUUUUUUUUAAAAAAUUUUAAUUGUAAUUAAAGAAUCUUAUAAGUGAAAAGACCAUUACAUAAUAAUGAUGAAAGAAAUGUUGUGGUAAUCAAGAGUGCAAAGAAAAUUACUGAUGAAAAGGCUAUUCAAAAAGUAGAAAUGAAAAAUCAUUGUUGCUCACCCUGUUUUCUGAUAAAAUUUUAUAAACCUCUUUGUGAUGCCACAGCCGACUGCGUUUUCCAGGAUCAUUGGUAGAUUCUUGUCGGACAAUUUCUCUGCCCAUAGCUCGCAAUAAAUCAUGCAUUUCUAUUUUAUUAAGGACUGAUAUAGUGAUAAGAUGCUUAUCAACAAGAACAUCUAUUCCCGAUGUAGCAAAGAAUUCACAAUCAUCAAGGAAUUUUGUCGCAGUGUCUCUGUCCUCAUCGAUAAAGAAACAUGCAAUAUCUAAAAAAAUAUUUUGCUCUUUGUCAUCCAAACCAUCAUAACUUAUUUUUAAGGCGUCCUGAAUUCCUUUGGGGGGAGCCGUUUCCCAUUUACUUUUUGCAUUUUCCCACACCUCUCUUGUCUUUCCAUAAAGAUAGCGACCCAAAACUUCAAGUGCUAAUGGAACUCCGCGAGCAUAUUUUAUUGUCUUGCAUGCUAGCUCUGUAUGACUUUCAUGGGGAUGAUCUCCUCCAAAGGCAUGUCGACUGAAAAGCCUAAGGGCGUCAUCAUCUACCAAUUCCUCCAUCUGAUAUACUUCAUCAACUCCACAAUUUGCAAGCACUUGUCUAUCUCUCGUUGUUAUUAUUAUUCGACUCCCGGAAGCAAACAAAUCGAGACGUCCAACUAAAAUCUUUAUUUGUCUUGGAUGAUCCACAUCAUCAAAAACAAUUAGAACCUUCUUGCGAGUAAGCCUCCUGCUCUGAAAAUUGAGGUCGGUAUUCAGAAAGUUCUUCACAUUUCCAUCAUUCAACAAUGUAGAAAGAAGUUGUUGUCGCAAGUCACCUAAUCUGCAAGUUUCUUCUGCCUCUCUAACAUUACGAGCAAAGUAAGAACCUGAAAAAUGUCUAGAGAUUUUGUUAAAAAUGGCACCCGCAAUGGUUGUUUUGCCUAUACCGCCGAUACCCCAAAUGCCAAGUUUGUAAACAUUCGUUGACCCAGUGCGUAACAAUGAUUCAAUUUCUUUCAUGGGUAAUCUAACUCCGACCAGGUCUUCGUUUUCUCUGUGAAAUGUGUCAUCCAGCCUCUUCAAAAUUGCAUUGACAAUUUCCUCUAUAAGUGCAGAUUCAGGACUAGCAAAAAAGUAACAAUAUUUAUAAGUUCAAAUGUAGGAGAGGGGAUCAGAGCGUGUAUUUUUAGCCAAUUUAAUGUAGUGGUUACUUUGCUCAUAUAUCUAAUCAAAUGGGGAAAAUGAUCAGAAUACAAAGUUCCUUUAUUGAGUUAAUCAUAGUUAUUUUAUUAAAUUAAUCAUUCAUUAAUGAUUAAAUUCAAUAGAUAACAAGAGAGUUAAGAUCAUUUUAUAAAAUAUAUAUAUAAUUUGAAAACUAGAUAUGCAUGCAAAUUUAAGAGUGAGAAUUAUUGUUGACCUAACGACACGAGAAUCAAAGCCAGAGAGAUCGGCUGCUUCUGUCAAAGCAUUCCUCCAACUUUGCAUCUUGUCCGGGAAUCGUUCUCCAAGCUUCAAAAAUGAAUCCCCAAAAUUACCGGUUUGCUUUCUCACGUGUGAUGGAUCAACUCGAUAGAAAACUGGUACCACAAUCUGUGCAUACUCUUUCUUGCAUUCGAGGAUCUUUAGGAGUUCAUCGAGGCACCAUCUGGAAGAAGCAUAUCUUUCCGAGAAAAUGAUAAUUGAGAUGCUUGAUGCCUCAAUUGCGUCCAAAAGAGACUGUGAAAUUUCAUCUCCCCUCCUCAGAUCGUCAUCAAUGAAAGUUUCUACAGUCUCCCGAGACAAAGCUGAAUAAAGAUGGCUAGUAAAGCUCUCGCGGGUGUCCUCACCUCCGAAACUUAGAAACACAUCAUACUUGAUUUCAGGAUUAGUCAAACUAGCAUAUGGAUGAGAAGAAGAAGCCAUAACAGUUCGAUUGACGAGAGAUUUUGAUGAUCAGAUGUGAAUUACUUAAUUACUUGGAAAACUUCGGUGAGCUGAUUUGUUGACUUCAUCUGAAGAAACAAAUAAUGGAUGACAGCUAAAAGAAGAAAUGAAAGUUUAAAUCCGACCACACAAGAGGAGAAAACUGUGAUGGCUUCAUUUUUUGUGAUGGAGAUUAUGGCCGUACUGAAUGUCUAUUCGUAUCGGGUUUUUGCACUUAGGGCGUGUUUUAAAAUUCAAAUUAAUACAAUUUUUACCUCAUUAUAUAAUCACGUACGUCUUUCCCUCGGGUUUCAACACCAACGCGCUAACUUUUAAUUUAUUGUUUCAUUAAGUUUUAUUAAAUUAAAUUAGUGUUGUUAUUUGUUUAAACAAAUUAUUAUCUUGAAAAUUAAUACUCAACAGCAGCUACUCCAAAGCACCAUUGUGGCCACCGACCACCAUUAUCGGACGCCACCAGCCCCUGGAUUAAUGUAUCUGUUGGAGUUAAAUUUGGUAUGAUUGAAAUCCUUAUCGAUAGAGCGUUGCAACGUACAUGUUUCAUCAGAAAUGGACCAGCUGUUUGCCGCAAAUCUGCGGUAAGAGUUUUGAGAUUCAAAAUUUUGACAGUGAGCAUUUAGCGAAGGAAAGCUCCGUUACUAGUAAUACAUGUAUCGUACUAUCGUUAUGAAGGUCUAGCAAUAAGGAUUUUAAAGGUACCAAAAAUAUUGUCAAAUAAAGCCUUAAUCUUGGGCCAGCGACAGUUCAUGUUUGGUCGACAGUAGUUGUGGUAAGUGGCAACCAUUGGUUAAUAUUAAUAUAAUAAUACAAUAUAGUGUAACAUUUAGAUGAUACAAUAUACUAAUGCAAUAUAACCGAAUACAAUACAUCUUACAUUAACUAAUACAAUAAAUUAUAGCACAAUACAAUGUGUCAAAUACAUACUUAAAGGAUUAGAUAAUAAAAAUGUAUAUCAAGUUAUCAAGGAUAUGCGUAUGGUACACUAUUAUAUUGCAACGCAUUACAUUAUUUUACACGAAUUAUAUUGUAUUCAAUUGUAUUACAUUGAUAUUGUGCUGAAUAUUUAUAAUCUUGUUAUACAGCAUUUUGUCCUACAUUAUAAUUUUUUUAAUUAAAUUUUAAGUAAUUGUAAAAAUUUAUAUUUUCAUAAAAAAAAUUAUUCCAAUAACUUAGAAUACAUAAAUUCUUGAAUUUUUUACAUCAUUUUUUUAAUUUUUAAUUGUAAAGAUGACUUUUAAUGUUACAUUACAAAAUCUCAUGGCCAAUAUUUAAGAUAUCAGAGUCAUAGAAGAACAAUACAGGCGCCCAAACAACUAGGGAUGACAAUGGGGAGGGGAGGGGAGGGGACCAAUCUCCCCCUACCCAUCCCUGAUAUUUUGCGUAUAUCCUCGUCCCCUCCCCGUCCCCGUCAGAAUUACUUGGGAGAAUCUACACAUACAUUAAAUUAGUAAGUAACGCAUACAAACUUCUUUUACAAACUAUCAUGAACAAAUUAAUAGUUUAAUACAAAAUUAUUACAAAUAAAAUCGAAUUUAGAUUCAAAAUUAACUUUUUCAAUGGUGGCGUGAACACUUUAUAAAUAUGGACUAUUCCCUUUACAGCACAAUAGUUAAGUCGAAGCAAAAUAUUAGAUUAGAUUAGAUUAGAUAUAAAAAUUGUGAUUCGUUGUGGGAUUUUUACCAAUAUUUAUAAUUUUAUAAUUUAAAUUUUAUAAUUUAUUUACUAGUAAUUUUAAAAAAUUAAAAAUUAAAAUGGGGAAAUAGGUAGGGGAUGGGGAUUCCACCUCAUCCACAUCCCCUCCCCGAAUAAGAAAUUGGGUAAAAAAAUUUCCCCGACCCUUCCCCGAAUAAAAAAUUGGGUAUGAAAUUAUCUUUAUAUCCUUCCCGAAUGGGGAAAAUCUCCGAGAGUACCCGUCCCCGUGGAGAUUUUUGUCAUCCCUACAAACAGCAUUGUAUACAAAAUCUCAUGAAGCAAAUUGAAGUGCAUUCUUAUUGUUGUGAAAUAUGGGGCAAAGGGAUUAGCCUGCACCAUCAAUGAAAGAAAAUAAUUCAAGGAGUCAAUGAUCCGAGUGUCCGUUGCAAUACUAGUCACUGGGGCCUUCGCUUGAUAAUUACAACAUUUGGAGGUCCAUUUGCAGGCAAAGUCCAACCGUGGGAGAAGGUGAUGCACUGCCACUUUUCCUUUACCAUUAGAUAAGGUGAUGAACAUCAUCUGCCACGUGGCAUCUCCUCUUGAUCAAAGUCCAACCGUCGGAUGUAACUCCGACAGAAGCAACAAGUAUAUAUAAAUAACAAGGGAGUAGAGAAAGAAAAUUAAUUCGCCAGAAUAUUUUGUACUAACUAGAAAGAAGAGAGCAAAAAUGACAUCCCAAAUGGUUUCAACGGAAAAAGUUUGUAUGUUACCACAACCACCGCAGUAGCUCAAACAAGCAUGGCCGCAAGGUGGCGUAGCAAGAAAAUCAAAUUAAUGGGGGUAAAGAUUUAUAAGGUUAGAUAUAAUUUUAAUGGAUUCUUAAUAUUAAGUUGGCAUUUUAAAUUAAAUUUGAACUUGAAUUUGAUGCGUUUAAGUUUGUAAUUUCAAUUAAUAUUGUUUUCUUUUGAAAGCUAGGGGAGUGGACGAAGUUCAAAUUAAUUUUUUAAUUCUCUACUUCCUUAGGACUUGAACUCAGAUAGCCAGUUAAAUAAAAUUAUUUGAGAAUCACUCGUUUAAACUCUCUUGAAAGCAGAUAACUUGAUUGAAGGUGUCAUUUUGAAUUUUUUGGACUAAGCCUUGCCCCUUGGUGACUCCGCCGCCACCAGCUCACCAACCUAAAGUCCGCCGCUGCCUUCCCCCUCAUCAUGCACUGAAUACAAGUGAAAAAAAAAAAAAAACAUGAUGAGCUUUGUGACUUUAACUGGAAGAGAGAUACAGUUGGAGAAAUCUAAAUAUUGAGCGGUCUUGUUGUAAGUCGGAUGACGUUAAUUAAUCUAACUUUUAAUAACAUUACUAACGUUUUCUGGAAAAAUAUUUCACUCACAAAAUUUGACCGUUGUUUAGCUUUUUAAACGUGUGUAUACGUUAUUCCUCACAAAUCACACUAAAAUUCCAUUAGUGACAAACACACCUGCAAUACAUAAUGUGUAGGCAUGUUAAAGCCAAAAGCAAAUAAGAAUAUUAAGACAUUUCAAAUCUUGGAGUACCAUGGGAAUCUUUUUUCCUCCUCCUACUCACUAGAGCUAUUACACGCUCCCCUUAAUAUUUCAAAGUACCCAGUACUUUUGACGUUGAUUAGUCUGUUAUCACAGAAUCUUAAUUUUUGAAAGGUGUCUGAAUCUAAAAAUAAAAAUACAAAUAUUGAUUACCAAUCGAAUUGAAACAAAUUUAAAUUGGAGUUGAAAUUAUGUUACUGGAGUUGUCAACAUUUGAAGAAUUUGUUGCAAUUUGUAUAUUGAAACAAAUUUAUUAUUAAAAAAAUUGUUUAAUCUAACAAAAAAAAUCAGUGAUACUAAGGGUAAUAAUGUAAUGUCACAAAAAAAUCUAAAAUACAAGAAAAAUUGGCACGUCCCAACGAUAAUUUUUUGUUAUAUAAAAUCUAUUUAAUUAACAGUAAAUAUUUUGAGAGGUAGAAGCUCGUUUACUAUCUAUAUUUUGAGGUUAGUACUUGUUUAGUCUCUUAAUUUUUAAAAAUACUUUAAAACAUCUCUACCGUUAAACUAUUGACACCCUACUAUUAUUUUUUGUUCUUUUUAGCUUGCUUUUAAAAUAUUACCCUAUUACAAUAAUGUUUCUUUUUUUGGGACAAUAAAAAACUUUUUUUGACAUUAAUAAAAAGGAAAAAAUUAAAUUACCAAUUUAACUCCAAAAAAUAAAAUAGAAACAAAAUGAAUAAAUACUAAUUUUUAACUUAUUUAAUUAUGUCUAAAAAAUGGGUAAUUUAAAUUUUUUAAUAUUUAUUUUUGGACAUAAAUAAGCUUCCAUAAAAAAUAUAUAUUAUUUUAUUUUUAUUUUAUUUUGGGGUUAAAUUGGUAAUCUAAUGUGAGUAUUACACACUGCAGUGCUCCUACAAUCUGACAUGUUGUGCUUAGCUAGAAGUUUUACAAUUUAUUUUGCUUGAGAAAGAUGCAUGCCAUUUGAGAUUUUUGUAACCUCAAUGCCAAGAAAGGGAUUUAGCUCUCCUAAAUGUAUUGUGAUAAUAUCAUCAACAUAGACAAAAAAACAUAAGAAUAUCACCAUCUAUCCACUUGUGCAAUAGAGAAUUGUUAGAUUUAGAGUUUUGGAACCCAUAUUGAGAAACCACUGCAUCUUUAAACUUGUUAAACUAGGCCCUAGAAGCUUGUUUAAGGCCAUAAAGACUUUUCUUGAGCUUGCAAAUGCGGUAAGGCUUGGAAGUGGCAAUGAAACCUUCAGGCUGAGCCAUUUAUACAUCUCCAACCAAGAUACCAUUGAGAAAUGCAUUGUUGACAUCAGCUUGUCUAAGUGCUCACCUGUUUAUGAUAGCCAAGCUUAAGAAAAUUCUGACAAUUGAGGACUACUGGACUAAAUUCAAUGGUUAUAUUAUUAUCACUUAACAGUUUUUGACAUUGAGUUUUUGGUGAUAAGAGGGACAUGUAAGUUGUAACACAUGAUCUAGCAACAAAGGUUCAGUAUUAAAUAAUACUGAUCCAAUAUCAGCAAUACUUAAAGCUGUACAUUUCCAAUAAGCAACUUUUCAACGCCAGUAUAUACUUUUAAAUCAAGAAGUUUACCUGAAUCAUUUGUAAUAUGAUUUAUUGCACCACUGCCUCUGUACAAGAAGGAUCUUCUACAAUCUCAGGAGCUAAAGCUAAAGAAGUGGAUGACAAACCACUAUUUAUACUAGAAAAACCAGCCAAACGAAGAGCGUUUCCAGUGCUAGGUGCAAAGGCACUAAAAACAGCAGCAUGACAUGCAUAGAAAGCAAUAGCUGAAGGAUCUGGAUAGAUGUCAUGACCCUGAAAAUCUGAAACCCUUAGCAUUACUAAGUUGUUAGAAUAAAGAUCAGAGCCUCUUCCAAAACCAUUAAAAGGUUUAUAGCCUCCAUUAUUAGGAAAACCAAAACGCCCUCUGCCAUACUAUCCUUAAACAAACAUCAAAGCCACCUCUGCCAAAGCUUCUAGGAACAAAAGAGGAAUUAUAUCUGCUUUUGCAUUUCUUAGCCCUAUGACCUUGUGUAAAACAAAUUUGACAAAUGAUGUCAAGAGCAGUAGCACCACUGACUUGACCUAGACCUCUAUUGUUGAUACCUCCAUAGCCAAAAGUACAACCACCACCAUAUGAACCUCCAUUUUUCUUUUGAAAGCCAUUGACAAUUUUACCAUAAUUUUGAUUUUUUUUAGCUACAUUUUUUGUCAUGUUAAGUGUAACAUCACCAGUAAUUUGGCCUCUUUUCUGUUCCAUCCCGCUCUCAUGACUUAAAAAAGAAAGGAUAAAGUUCAUUUAAGCUAAUUUAGUCUCCUCUAACUAAGACACUGGUGAUGAAGGAUUCAUAAUAAGAGAAAUUAAGUCCAUUUAAAAUAUGCUGCACAAAAUCAUUCAACUCAACAUGUUUUCCAGCUAAAGCAAGAUUAUUAGCCAAUUUUUCAUUAUAGAAAAUAAUCCACCACAGAGAUCACUUCUUUCUUAAGUGUUUCAAGUUGCAUCUUGAGAUAUGCUGCACAAAAUCAUGCCAGUGAGCAUGUCCAAUAGCUCUUUUGAGGUAGUGCAAUGAUCACCGUCCAGAGUAAGUUUUGUUGAAUCGAUGACAUCAUCCAGCUUAAAAAAUUGAUCUCCCUCCGUCCAGGUUAUAAAGUCUGGAUUCACCUCUAUUGUAGUAGAUCCAGUUGAGGACCUAGCUCCAGUAGUUUCAUGAGGAAGAAAUUGCACGGGACACGGGCGAUUGCUAUUAAUAAAGCUUUCUAAACAGUUGCCUUUGAUCAAAGUUAAAAUGUGUGCGCGCCACGCAAUGAAGUUUUUGUUACCUAGCUUGAUAGGAGUAACAAAGCUAAAGGAUCCAGCUGAUUGAUUAUUCAUAUUCGAACUCGCCAUAGUUGGCUCUUAUACUAAGAAUUUGCAAUUGAGUGUGUUUGGGAAAUGAGAAAGUGAAGUAGGAAAUGAAAGAAAACAGAGAGAAUCUUGAAUGUAACAAUACGGAGAAUUCUUUUAAUUGGUUCUUAGAAAAACUUAAUCAACCAAUUACAUUAUAUAUAACUAAUUUCAACUCUUCAACGCAGCUUAGUGACACGUCAAUUGGUGAGUUAUAAUCAAAUAUGUGCUCCUGUGCAAAAAGCUUCUCAACACUUCUCAAGCUCAAUCAUUAAAGUCACUAACGAUUCUGAUAAUUAUCCACAUACAACAGUUUAUUUCAAAAAAAUCAUUAUUCUACCCAUAGUUUUACAAAAUAAUAAUAAUAAUAAUAAAAGUACUUGUAUGUCAAAAUUUUAAAACCUUCUUCAUCUUUCAUCUUUCAUCUUUCUACAAACAAGAUUUAUAACAAUAUAAUUGAAUUAGAAGAAGAUAAAAUUGGAAGUAAGUUACGCCAAACCCACAUAAUUUCUCCUGACAACUCAAAUAAUAAAGUGAAGACUGAAGUUAUCUGAGUAUCAUUUCACACUUAACACUAGAAAGACCAUAUUGUUCCAAAGCUUUCUCUUACUCCAGACUUUCGUUCCGAUAUUCAUUUGCAUUGAGCUAAUGAAUAAACAAUCUUCAUUUCAACUACUUUUAUUGUCAUCAUGGCUUUCUUUUACUAGUUUAGAAUCUAAGUUCUAUUACAAUUAACAAUUUUUUUAAUUAAUUUCUCCCAAUAUCCUAAAGUAAGAAAGAAUCUUGAAAAGUAAACUUUUGUUGGUUUGUCUCAGGCAUCCUAUCACAUGCUAUGAACAUGGAAAAGCAAUAAUCAUGUGUGAGUUAAUUCUCAUAAACUCUAUGCUUGUCGCUUGAUAAGAUGGAAUUCAUAACAUAUGAAUCGAGCAAAUUUCUUUUUUUUUCAAUAAAUAUUUUCAUAUUAUUUCAUGAUAAUCUCUCGAGUAGGGUUAUUUGCUCCAUCAUUAAAAUUUUAAACUAUAAAUUUUUUCAACAUCUGAAAUUAUCUUUCCCCCUACGCCGGUGAUAGCAGCAAACCAUAUACUAAUAUUAAAUGGAAUAAAAAAAAUUAAAAUAUUCAUCAUUUAAAAAUAGUUCUAUUAUUAAAAAUAAAUUAUUUAAGUUAAGAAAUAUUUAAUUCAACUAAUUUAAUCAUGUUAUAUCCAUUUGUACAAACUAAAAUUAAAAUUACACGUACCUCCAUUAUUACUCUUAGAAGUAUAAUCAAUGUGUGUCUCUUGCAGCACUAGCAUAGCUUUAAGUAUUUUGUAUGAUUAUGUGAUAAGCAUAAUAAAUCAGUUAACAUUGCAAUAGUUUAUUUAUUGAAUAAUUUGUUUAUUUUGAAGCAGUUUUGGCCUUUGGGUGUUUUCAUGAUAAAAUCUAUUAAAAUUCAACCUUUUUAAAAAUAUAUUGGAAAAUAGUAUCACCCAAUUUUAUUUAUUAGGAAUAUUAGGUAAAAAAAAAUAUCAUCAGUUCAGCUAACGUUAAUACCCAAAAAUUAUUUGAUCAGAGCUGGAUCGCUAAAAUUCGAUAGUUAAGUGUUCUUUACUUUAUCCAACAACAAUCUAACACAAUGAAAUUGGAACAAGGAUCGAGAAAGAAUAAGAAAGAUUAAAAAUCUUCUUUAAAAACGGAUGCAGUUCAAUUGAAUGAGGUGGGUGCUGGGUUGUGUGAGAGAAGUAAAAAAUUUCGGUUAGGUUUAGCCAAACCUUUUUGAUGUGUAGCCCAAUUGAGGCUAAGGGUUGGUUGUCUAAUAACAAAGCGGCUUGCCAACACAUACCAAAUACAGAAAAUUUAAAAGAAGAAUGAACAGAUCAACUGUGGGUCUCUUUAUUGUUUGAUGGGAAUUGGCAGAAAGAUGAACGUGUUCAUUUAUUUUUACAGCAUUUUGCUACAUCUCUACCAAGAAUUGCUGACAAUAAUCAAACCCAAUUAAAAUUUUGCUGCAAAUCUACCAGAAUUGCUCAUGGGAUCAACUCAAAAAUUAUAAUGCCUUAGUACAAAGACCAUGAGAUCAACUCAUGGUCAAAAGUUAGUUCAUAAAUUAAGGUUCUCGAGUUCGUUAUUUACAGUCCAUUGGACGUGGAUAUUUUCCAUAUCAACUCCGUACUACAUUUUCUUUAUCACCCAUCUCUUGCGAGCCCAUUUGAGAUAAUAAAACCAACUCAUAAGUUAAUAGUCAUUUCAAACUUAUAUUAUAGUGUUUGGCGGUAUUCUCAAUCAAGCUUCAAAUAUAAUAUAAAUUAAGUUCCCUUUUUUUUUUUGGGUGUUUUGACGGUCAUCUUUUUCAGUUGAGUUGAACAAUGUCUAUCCACGAGGAAAAGAUAAAGGGAAAAAAUAGAUAAGAAAAGUGAAAUAGAUAAAGAUUUUCCGGAGAAAAUUGAAGAUGGCAGAUGGGCAAGAUAAGUUUGUUGGUUCAAAUCAAAAGAGGAGCCGCACACGUAAAGUGCUGAUGCGAUUUAAGUAGAAUUGCUGUCAAUUUGUAGAGAUAGCACACCCUUUCGGAAAGCUCAGAGCUUAGUCAGCACUCGGCAGCAUUAAGACCUUUCAACCACUAACGGAAGGCCACCCAAUUCAACGUAUGCUCUCAUCAUUCAAUUUCAUUAAUCAGACAAUCCACUGACUGGCACACUUCUUUCUUUUCUUUUUUUUUUCAACCCUGGUCCCUUUCACAAUCUUUUAUUAGGAUCCGUCUUUAUUUUUUUGUACUAAAAACCAAAGGGUUUGUUACAAAUGAGCAAGAAUACUAAUAUAAACGCACAAUUAAACGAUUAAGUGUGUAGAUUUCCAAUCGUUAUGUUAAAAUGUUGGACGUAUAUGGAGCCUUAUUAUAUAACCCAUAGUUUGCAAAUAAUUAUAAACUUUGGAUGUGAAUGGAGCAUAACCUUUGGGUACAGUCAAUGCCGUAGUUGGAGGAAGGGCAAAAUCGCCAACACAAUAAUUUUGUGAAUCCUACUAGUUUUCUCUUAGAUUUUAUAAUUUCAAUUAUAACUGAGUUAAACAAGUUAUCUAGCUUAAAAAAAAAAAUAUCCCCACUAGAGACGGAGAGGACAAAACCAUACGAACAAAAGCAUGGACGAUGGGCCCCAAUGUUCGUGUCCACCACGAUCUGUUGGUAUGCUUUUGGCUUCACUGUUUCUGCUUGAAUGAAUCAAAUAGAAUAUUGAGAUGAUAAAUAAUUAAACAGACAGCCACAUCAAUAAAGAAGAUAAACACAAAGCAGUCAGGCGCGCAGCAGGCGCCAGGCAGCAUCCAAAGCAACAGGCACAAAAGUAAUUAAUUAAACAAAAAUAUAAUCAAUCAAAAAGAUUUCAUUCAUUCAUUCUUCUCUCAAAUUUUCCUCCAAAUUACAAUUACAAAUGGGAGGAGGAUGGUUAAAGAUUGACAAACUAAGCACCAUAUUGUUAUAUUACAGAAUUUCCAAUUGAAACCCCCGCCCCCCCAACAAAAGAUUAAACAACUCUCUCAAUACUCUCUCUCUCUAUAUACAAAAUACUG
This 79263-nucleotide long non-coding RNA is filed under the name Citrus sinensis (sweet orange). Its description in RNAcentral is "long non-coding RNA (CSIN_LNC003213)". The record is from RNAcentral. Lineage: Eukaryota; Viridiplantae; Streptophyta; Magnoliopsida; Sapindales; Rutaceae.